Molecule: long non-coding RNA, 52600 nt
Filed under: Sorghum bicolor (sorghum)
Lineage: Eukaryota; Viridiplantae; Streptophyta; Magnoliopsida; Poales; Poaceae
Description: long non-coding RNA (SBIC_LNC012955)
Rfam family: Plant small nucleolar RNA R71 (bases 3458-3564)
Source: RNAcentral
GUGGGUAUCUUGUACCCCUAAUUCUACUGUCGGACACUUAUCCAUUUUUACUUCUCAUCUCACUUUUUCUUUUCCUUCGAGGUUCCGAGCACUUGCUCCUUUUUAUUUCCUCGUAUCUUUCUUUUUCUUUUUUUAGAGCACUCAUCUCAUGAGAUAAUAUAUCAAGUGGUAGUAACAAGAUAACUUGAGCAUUUAUUUCAUAGGGAAAAACAGAAAUAUUUUUUUGUUAUUCUCUCCCGGAUUAGGAGUAGAAUAUUUUUUAGGUGAUUCUGGAGAUGGAAUGGGUGGAUAUAUGUGGAUGGUACUUCCGGAGUAGAAGUAGCAUAUAUGAGUCAACGUGCAAGUGAAAUCUUGAUUUAACCACAUGACAAGCUCCUAAGGGUCUACACAGCUUGACCACACUCAAUGCUCAUAAGCAGUAAAUAGUAAAUGUGUGGCUCAGAGUCUAGCAAGCAUGUAUAUAUGGUUGUGGUAGGAAUUUAAACUCUCAUCAUACAGGAACUCAUCAUGCAACAUUUUAAAGAUUUUUAAAGAUAAAAUUCUCCAGAAUUCUAGCAUCUCUAGGAACAGAUAAACAGCAGCUCAACCUUCCCAUAUCGUAUCCGUUAACAACUUAGACUUCAGAUCAAGUUUUCAUCCCACAAGUUUAGGUCUAGAGCAAGAUUUAAAUUAUAACAGUUAUAUCUAAACUUGAGAGAGAACUUAAAAUGUACAAAUUAGGCAGAGCAACUAUUCAUCAUAUCCAUGCUUAAGUUUUAUUUAGAUAUAGAUUAGCAUAGCCACUUUAUUUAUUUAUUAAACACACUAAGCAAAAGACAUAUAUAUAUAUAAGCAUAAAAUCUUUAUUUAGUUUUUCAUAGUUUAUGUAUUUUAAUAUAAUAAUAUAUAAAGAUAGAUAGAUAGAAAUACUUAUCGAGAUAAAUGGGGUGCUCUCCCCCAAGCUGAAUUUUGACAUAAUUUCUCUUGAUGUAGCUAGCAGGUGGCAGAGGUGUAUUUGAAAGUCAGCAGCAUUCUGACAGCGAUUAGAAUGUCCUUCGUCUGCUAGUCUUCUUGAUUCUUAAAUUCUAUGGAGUUCAAAUAGACAACAAAGCUUGUGGAACUGAUUAAGUGUUAGCAUAAAUAUCUAGCCUUUAUGCGGAGACUCCUUAAUAAUUAUUACUCCCUAUUUUUAUAUUUUUAUUUUAUAAAGCAGAAAAGAAAUAUUUAUUUUAUUUUUAUGCCACCACAGUGAAUGUACUUAUGGGUUUUAUGCCACUCGUAUACUCACAUGGGGUUUACUGUUUUUUCAUAUUUUUAUUUUCUUUUUAGGAUAGUACGAACAUGAUAAACUAAGUAAACUAUUUGAAAUAAUUGAAAGGGAAAGGAUAACUACCAAGUUUACCUCUUGGCAAGGCGUUCGGUGUUUUUAAGUCCUCCGAACGGGACUCUCCAUUUUUCAAUUGUCCUGAGGUUCGUUGGGUGGCGUAGUCGGUACUUCCGGCAGCGUCUCCUCUUCGUGUAUAGUAACCUUCAUUUUCCACACCUGACUUGGUGCUUCAGUCUCCUCUGGAUAAUUCUGUUUAAACUCUACGUCUUCUGACCUUACAACUUGUCCUUCGUAGUCUGCCCAUCCGUCCUUGAUGAUCUGCCUCCUCUGGUUGCGGUUGCGUCUUUUCCUUACCUGCUUAGAUUCUUCAACGAUAUUGUUAGGGUCAGUAAAAUAACGGCGUACCUUCUCUGAGGGGAAGUGCAUAUGGACUUCUCGGGUUCCAAUGUAGAUGAUUGCUUUAACGGUGCUAAGGAACGGUCUUCCAAGGAUGAUGGGUGGAUCAUACUCGUCUUCUCCCAUGUCAAUAACUUGAAAGUCUGUGUAGACAAAGUGAUCGUCUAUUUUGACUGGGACAUCAGUUACUAUUCCUUUAACUUCUCGAAAUGUCUGAUCUGCCAUCUGGAGCUGAAUGUAUGUUGGUCUUAGGGGCAUGGUCCCGAACAAGAGCCGAUAGAUGACUGCGGCCAUUAUGUUGACGCCCGAUCCGGUGUCACAAGUUGCCUUGUAGAAGUUGUAUCCAUUUAUGGAGCAGUAGAUGCUUGGUAUUCCUGGGUCGUCCUUCUUGGUCAAAAGCGGUGACUUAAGUUGAUGAUCUUGGCCUCCAUGAACUACAGUGACCAUCUUAGCUGACUCGGUCCACACUUGCUUGUUCCUGUUCCUCCUGUUGGUCCUCCUCCUUGACUCACGUCUGGAUUGAUCUGGAAUUUGUGUAGUCUUGUUCUUGAAGAAAAAUGUCUCCUUCCUCCCUUUGACGUAGAAACUGAUCUUGGCAGCUCUAGCGUAGAUGAUAGCUCCCGUGGUGUUCAAAAAUGGCCUCCCUAAGAUGAUAGGUGCUCUCUCAUCAUUUCUGUCUCUACAACUACGAAGUCUGCUGGGGCAUAUAAGGUACCAACUCGGACGCAAAGGUUCUUCAAUAUUCCCUCUGGAAAAGUUAUCGUCUGAUCUGCAAACUGCAAACAUAUGGUUGUUUCUAAUAAAGGAUAUGUAAAGAAUUUUUCAUAGAGUACCCUAGGUAUAAUGUUGACACUGGAGCCAAAGUCACAGAGUGCUUCUGGGACAUCCACCAUGCCGAUGGAGAUCGGGAUGACGGGGCAUCCUGGAUCGCCUCUCUUGACCGGCAGAAGGUCAGUAGUGAAUUCAGUGACGGGGUUACUCCAAUUUCCUGCAUCAAACAUGUCUACAAGAUUCGCAGGUUCUAAUCCUUCCGGUUGUGAUGGUAUACCGGGGUUAGUUGUAGGAACAGCAGCAGCUAUUUGAUUUAACUGAGAUUCAAUCAUUUUAUUAAAGCUAAUUUGAUUCUUGAUGGUAGUAGAGAAAUUAUCCAUUCUAUUAUUUAUAUUUUCUAGCAUUUUAUCAUUAGAUGCCAAUUUCUAAGAUAGGUUAUCCAUUAGCUUUCCUUGAUUAGACACUAACUCUCUCAAAGGUGGAAAAUUAUUAUUAUUGUUGUAAGAAUUGUUACCUUGAUAAUUACCUGAGUAGUUAGGCAUCUGUUGAUUCCAACCUUGAUUUUGUUGAGGACGGUUGUAGUAGUUGUUGUUGUUAUUGUUGAUGUAGUUCACAUCCUCAAGUAUCUCAGGGCAGUGGUUGCCUGAGUGUCCAGUGUCUCCACACUCCUCACAAGUCAUGUGAGAGUCGUAGAUGUGCAUAACUUCUUUCUUAUCUCUAGCUCUAUCAUCGAGCUUCUUCAUGAGCAGGUCUAGCUCUGCAGACAGCAUGUCUACCUCCUUCAGCUGAUGCAUACCUCCACCUCUCUUGCGUGUCUAAGUCCUUUCUUCAUUCCAGCUUUGGUUGGACGCCAUCUUCUCCACAAGAGCUGUGGCUUGUGGUAUAGUAAGUGAUAAGAAUGUUCCUCCACCUGCAGCAUCCAUGGUCUCUCAGGUACUGUUGCCGAGUCCAUGAUAAAACGUCUGCAUCAAUAGCCAACUUUCCAUUCCAUGAUGGGGACAUUCUAGGAUGUAGUCUUGAAAGCGCUCCCAUGCUUCUGGAACAGAUUCAUCAUUUUGUUGCUGAAAACUUGUAAUCUUCCCACGGAGAGCAUUGGUCUUGCCCAUGGGAAAGAAUUUUGCUAGGAAGUUUGUUGAGCAAAGUGCCCACGUAGUAUUCUUCUCCUUUGUAGCGUAGAACCACUGCUUCGCUCUCCCUAACAGUGAGAAUGGGAAGAGGCGAAGUAGUAUAGCAUCUUUGGAAACUCCUGAUAUGGUGAAUGUGUUGCAAAUCUCCAGGAAGUGUUGUAAAUGAGCACUAGCAUCUUCGUGUGCCUUCCCAUAGAACUGGUUGGAUUGCACCAUGUUGAUAAGUCCAGGCUUGAGCUCAAAGUUGCCAUCGAUCUCUGCAGCAGGUCCAGUGCGGAUGUUGUCCGUGGUGGGAGCUGAGAACUCGCGGAUUGAUUUGUUUGCCAUGGCUUCGAACUCUGAAGACAAGUUCCGGUGAUCUUCUUGAUUGGGAGAAGCUUCUUGCUAAAGUGUUGAUGAUCUCUUCUUGAGCAUGGCUCUCGUCUUCUUGAAUAAUGCUUCGGGAUUGUCAACAAAAUUUCCUGAAAGAUGUCUUCUAUUCAUACAUUCCCCUGCAUAAGAUAAAACAGAAAAAUAUCGGGGUAAAACUAUAUGAGAGAAUAGAUAAGCUCAAUCAUAUUAGUGAUGCAAAUGAUAACUCAAAAUCUUUUAUUCCAUUCUUGAUUAGUAAUCAACCUUCCCCGGCAACGGCGCCAAAAAUGCUUGUUGGGUAUUCUUAACAUCAUUACCAAAAGUAGACUAAGUUCUCUAAAUCUAGUAACGGUGCCAAAAAUGCCAAACCUAUCCCUCACACCACUUAAGCCAAGUUGUCAUCCCCAGCAUGAUAUAAGAGACGCGGUAUUGAAAUAUGCAAUUGCUCUUCUAAAUAAAUAAUAAAUGGGAUCUGCAAGCGCACAGAUUAAUACCGAUGCAACAUUUUAACCAGGAAGUAUUCCAGGUAUCGUUAUUUAUAUUUUUACCACUGGGAAGGGAUUAGCAAUCAUCAAUAUUGAUUACAGAAUAGAAUAUGAGAUUGAGCAUCUAUCAUUGCAUGUAUAAUUGAGAACAUUAUAUCUAACUCUUCAUACAGGGAUAAGUGUCACAUAAGAGAUAUAUGAAAUAAUAAUAGUGACAAGGAUAACUAAUCUGAUCUAGCCACAUAAUAAAUAUGAUAAGCACCUCAAUUAGAUACUCUAGAAAGUCAUUAGCAUGGUAUUAGAACGAACUACAAGAAUAUUCCCUAAGUUAUUCUCAACUAUAUAGUCUAGGAUAUCAUAGUUAGUGCAAGCAUACUUAGCAAUCAUUGCGAGACAAGACUACGCCCAUGCAUAGUGAUAUUAGCAAGGAAUAUGAGAAACAUAGCAAUCACUCCCCUGUAAUAAUGUUGCUCUGCCAGCCCAAUACAUGAGAGGGGGACUAUAUAAGAAUCAAUGAAGCUGUCACUAUCACGAACUACCCCACGAUCUGGCAUAUUGGGUACAAUCGCAGAUAAAUACGGUAUAAGCACCACGCCUACACAAUAUCUAUCAUUUACCCAUGGAUCCGAUGGAUAAACGCUAUACGAUUAAAAAGCAAUUAGAAGCACAAUUAGAGAAUUACCAAGAUAAUUAAAAAGCAAUUAGAAGCACAAUUAGAGAAUUACCAAGAAUCCUCUUGACAGAUCCGGAAACCAAUCGAAGAUUGACUCCUUCUAGUUCUAAUCCUAUGUAGCUAUGCUAAUCUAGAUGUCUAAUUGAUGUGGUGGCUCUAAUCUUGAUCAGAGGCUUCUUCUCCCUUGAAGAACAAUGAAUUAGGGUUGAGAGGCUCUCUCCUCCAGGGGCCAGGGGGUCUGGUUUUAUAGUCCCUUCAAGUGAAUAUGGGCCAUUGGAUCAAACCGACAUAGAUUGUAUGGUUUAGAUUCAUCCUUUAGGUCGGUGGAGAUCUCCCACGAAGCAGAGUCCUGAUUGGACUCAGGAGGUGGGCGGGCGCCCUGAUCACCUAGGCGGGCGCCCAGGGUCAGGCCCCGUUUCGCCUCCGCUUCGAUCUCGUGGCUUCUGGAGUCUUCUAGAUGUAAGAUAAUUGCGCGGCACGUUAAUAUCUCUAUGUAAUCCCGAUGUGUGGGCCUUUCUUCCGUAUUUCCUGAUAACCCCCUGCAGAAAUAGACAAACACCAAAACUCGUGGAAUUCUGUCAGAUAAAACCUUAAGUCUAGAUGUUGAUUUCAUUUGGAUCCAUUUCUUUAUUUAUUUGAUAAUUAAAUUUGAUACUUAAGGACCGUCAACAAGGACCCAGACUCGCAAGAGAGGUGGAGGUAUGCAUGAGCUCAAGGAGGUAGACAUGUUGUCUGCAAAGCUAGACCUGCUCAUGAAGAAGCUCGACGAUAGAGCUGGAGAUAAGAAGGAAGUGAUGCACAUCUACGACUCUCACAUGACUUGUGAGGAGUGUGGAGACACUGGACACUCAGGCAAUCACUGUCCUGAGAUGCUUGAGGAUGUGAACUACAUCAACAACAACAAGAACUACUACAACCGUCCUCAACAAAAUCAAGGUUGGAAUCAAUAGAGGCCUAACUACUCAGGUAAUUAUCAAGGUAACAAUUCUUACAACAAUAAUAAUAAUUUUCCACCUUUGAGAGAGUUAGUGUCUAAUCAAGGAAAGCUAAUGGAUAACCUAUCUAAAAAAUUGGCAUCUAAUGAUAAAAUGCUAGAAAAUAUAAAUAAUAGAAUGGAUAAUUUCUCUACUGCCAUCAAGAAUUAAAUUAGCUUUAAUAAAAUGAUUGAAUCUCAGUUAAAUCAAAUUGCUGCUGCUGUUCCUGCUACUAACGCUGGUAUACCAUCAUAACCGGAAGGAUUAGAAUCUGCAAAUCUUGUAGACAUGUUUGAUGCAGGUAAUUGGAGUAACCCCGUCACUGAAUUCACUACUGACCUUCUGCCGGUCAAGAGAGGUGAUCCAGGGCGCCCCGUCAUCCCAAUCUCCAUCGGCAUGGUGGACGUCCCAGAAGCACUCUACGAAUUUGGCUCUAGUGUCAACAUUAUACCCAGGGUACUCUAUGAGAAAUUCUUUACAUAUCCUUUAUUAGAGACAACCAUGUGUUUGCAGUUUGCAGAUCAGACGAUAACUUUUCCAAAAGGAAUAUUGAAGAACCUUUGUGUCCGAGUUGGUACCUUGUAUGCCCCAACAGACUUCGUAGUGGUAGAGACUGAAAAUGAUGAGAGGGCACCCAUCAUCUUAGGGAGGCCAUUCUUGAACACCACGGGAGCUAUCAUCUACGCCAGUGCUGCCAAGAUCAGUUUCUACAUCAAAGGGAGGAAGGAGACAUUUUUCUUCAAGAAUAAGACUACACAAUCAAUCCAGAUGUGAAUCAAGGAAGAGGACCAACAGGACGAACAGGAACAAGCAAGUGUGGACCGAGUCAGCUAAGAUGGUCACUGUAGUUCAUGGAGGCCAAGAUCAUCAACUUAAGUCACCGUGUUUGACCAAGAAGGACGACCCAGGAAUGCCAAGCAUCUAUUACUCCAUAAAUGGAUACAACUUCUACAAGACGUUUUGCGACACCGGAUCGGGCGUCAACAUAAUGGCCGCAGUCACCUAUCGGCUCUUGUUCGGAACCAUACCACUAAGACCAACAUACUUUCAGCUCCAGAUGGCAGAUUAGAUGUUUCGAGAGGUUAAAGGAACAGUAACUGAUGUCCGUGUCAAGAUAGACGAUCACUUUGUCUACACAGACUUUCAGGUUAUUGACAUGGGAGAAGAUGAAUAUGAUCCACCCAUCAUCCUUGGAAGACCGUUCCUCAGCACCGUUAAAGCAAUCAUCUACAUUGGAACCGGAGAAGUCCAUAUGCACUUCCCCUCAGAGAAGGUACGAUGUUAUUUUACUGACCCUAACUAUAUCAUUGAAGAAUCUAAGCAAGUAAGGAAACGACGCAACCGCAACCAGAGGAUGCAAAUCAUCAAGGACGGAUGGGCAGACUACGAAGGAGAAGUUAUAAGGUCAGAAGACGUAGAGUUUAAACAGAAUUAUCCAGAGGAGACCGUAGCACCGAGUCAGGUAUGGAAAGAGAAGAUAAUUAUACAUGAAGAGGAGGCGCUGCCGGAAGUACCGACUACGCCACCCAACGAAUCCCAGGACAAUUGAGAAAAUGAAGAGUCCCGUUCGGAGGACUUAAAAACACCGAACGCCUUGCCAAGAGGUAAACUUGGUAGUUAUCCUUUUCCUUUCAAUUAUUUUAAAUAGUUUGCUUAGUUAAUCAUGUUCAUGCUAUCCUAAAAAGAAAAUAAAAACGUGAAAAAACAGUAAGCCCCAUGUGAGUAUACGAGUGGCAUGAAACCCAUAAGUACAUUCACUGUGGUGGCAUAAAAAUAAAAAAAUAUUUUUCUGCUUUAUAAAAUAAAAAUAUAAAAACAGGUAGUAAUAAUUAUUAAGGAGUCUCAACAUGAUAAAGGCUAGAUAUUUAUGCUAACACUUAAUCAGUUCCACAAGCUUUGUUGUCUAUUUGAGCUCCACAGAAUUUAAGAAUCAAGAAGACUAGCAGACGGAGGACAUUCUAAUCGCUGUCAGAAUGCUGCUGACUUUCAAAUACACCUCUGCCACCUGCUAACUACAUCAAGAGAAAUUACGUCAAAAUUCAGCUUGGGGGAGAGCACCCCCAUUUAUCUCAAUAAGUAUUUCUAUCUAUCUAUCUUUAUACUUAUAUUAUAUUAGAAUAUUGUUGCACCCAGUUUUGAUAACAAAACCAAGUACUCAAAUAUGUGCGCCCAGGAUGUCCAAACACACAUAUUAUCACAAAUUGUAAAUAUAUCAAAGUAAAGUACUUUAUUACACCGCAUAUUCAACUUAAAUAUCUCACAUAGUCUUGCUCAUUGGCAACAUUAUUACAUAAAGCGGAAAGCUAAACCCUUGCUGCCACAGGGAUGCCAACUGGUGAACACCAGCUCUUUAGAAGUCCUGGACAUCUUCAGGGAACUCCCCAGAACACACAUCUGUUACCCAUCCGGGAUUUUCAUUGAAAUAUAAACAAGUGUAAGCGCACCAUGCUUAGCAAUAUAACAUAGGGGUAUAUGAAGGCUCAAAGGUUUGACUCGGUUUAACAGUGGUUAGCAUUUUAAUUGGUCAUAUUUUAUUUACCAAGACUUACUACUUUUAAUGAAUGACCAACCCUGGUUACAUAAGAAUUAAUCAAAGUUAUUAUAUUCCCCAAGUAUAGCCAGGUAACCGCUAAUCAAGAAGGAUCCAGGUCGCUCAUGACCGAGAGCUCGGCUGUUAUAACAGGUUUUAGAUUUCUGCAGAAAUUGUACAACUUUACCCCCGAGCCGUGGUUCCCUAGUGUCGGGGUUUGCAAGGCCCACACCACUUCUACCGAGGAAGUGUGACCGGGUCCCACUACGUAACCUUUCACUAGUCACCCUAACAAAAUAGUAGCCGCGAGGUUUCAGUGGCAAGUGUGCAUAGACGACCUCCUUCAAGAGGCACAUGUGGUCGCGGCAAUGUACACACCAAGGUAGGAGUGACAUCUAUACACCACGAGGCACCCCCCUCUAGCGCCUUUCGGUAACUACUAAAUUGCUAGAGUCAUACUAGUUAUAUGAUUGAGGUUCAGAGCCAUUUGACUCUCGGGAUUGUACGUGUCCUCCUGGGUGGCCGCUUCAGGAUUAAGUCCUUAUGGAGAGGAAUCUAGAGCUUUCAAACCCAAGCUCUAGCCCCCUGAACCAAGUUACUAGAACAUAUUUUAUCACGUUGCAUAUACUACUUAAUCAGAUUAAUUUAUUAACUUGGGUUUUGAGCAUAGCAAGCAACUACCUAAAUAAAUGCACACCUUCCCAUGGGUAACAAGGAUUUGUGGUACAAAAAUUAUCUAGGUAAAGUCCUUAUAGGUAUUUCAAUUUAGACACAUGCAUAUGUAUGAUUUAAAUAAUAUUCAUAGGUACAAGGAAGCCUAUAUUACACUUGCCUUCCUCAAAAAUUUCUUCUUGGUAGAGCUCCACAAACUGCUCCUCAACCACUCCAACGUGAUCUCCUUCUAUUCGUGAUCCAAACACCAAUCAAGCAUCCAUUCCAAUCAUCACAUGCAUACAAAUAGAGUUCUAUUAGAACAGUACACCAAACAGUGAAAACAGUGACUGAAAAGUAUAUAAAUCUACUCUACGCAUUUCUACGAGCACAUGAGCGAAAGAAUCACUCCAAUCGGAUUUAAAACGUGAAAGUUAUGCAUAAAACAAAUUGAAUGGCAUUUCUGUGAAUAAACUGAAUUAAAAACGAAUUUAAAAGAAUUUAAAAACUGAAUUUCUAACGUGUCUCGACCGCGCGCACUAAUAUUUAAAAGUACAGGGUUCAAAACGAAAGAAAACAGGAUUAAAAAGAAAUACUUUUGAACUGGAUUGGACCGCGGGUUGAUUUGCUUGAAACAGGGGGGUUAAAGUGCAAAAACUCCAGCGGCCCGCGGCUGACCGCGUUGCUGGCCGACAGGGGGGCACGUGGCGCGCGGGGGUUGGCUCGGUCCACCACUGUGCGCGUGGACCGGCCGGCCGAGUGCCGUGGACCGCGCCCAUGGGUCCACGGUGGACCGGUUACAUAACCCCGAAGGGGUAUGUAAUCUGGGCCGUUGGGAUCUAAUCGGGCGGCUCAGAAAGGAGGGAGGCGGGGCGCUCGCUUGGCCGAGGCCGAGCACGGCGGCGCCAUUGCCGCCGACGAGGUGAGCUCCUCGAAGCUCGCCGGAAACUCAUUCCCGACCACUCCAAACAAAAAUAAAACUACCGAAAUGAUCAGCGCGACGAGGCGAACACGAUAGGGCACAAAGAGAGGGCGGGGUGCACGUCGGGAAGACGGCCCUGCGGUGGCGCCAUUUCCGCAGCCUCGACGAGCCUUGGGCUCGGCGGUCUAACGCUCUAGCUCGAAAUUGAAAGCACGGGGAGCAUCGUAGGUGUACCGCGGUUCCGUUGGAGACGUUCGCGGCGUCCGAAGGUGCUCCGAGCAGUGUGGCCACGGGCGCGCGGUCUGGGGAAGAAAAUGGCGACGGUGAGCUAAAAUUCAUGGCAUACAAGAUCAAAACAAAGAUGAAAUCGGUGCCUACGGUCGCGGCGAGUCUCAACCAAGCUCCCGGGACGCUCUCCGGGCUCUGGGUCGCUCGAGCAAGGGGAAACCGAGGUGGGGGAUCGAAACCGUGCUCCGGUGGUGGCUAGGGGCAGCAAGGGGGGGCUCGGCCUGGGGUUUUAUAGGGCGAGCAGGGGCGUUGAGGGAGCGCGCAUGCGGGCGUUAACUCCCGGCGUCAAGAGGUUUGAUGGAGCCCCGAUUGAUGGCCUCCAUCAAUCGGCGUUUGAAGAGGGGAUGAAUGCCCCUAGCUGCGUUCCCGGCUCGGUGGAGAAGAAGGGGGGAGACGCUGACGUGCGGACCCCACGGUGCAGCGAGAGAGAGAGAGGGGGAAGGGUGAGCGCCGACAGGCGGGACCCACCGCGCAGUGAGAGGGGGAGAGGGGGAGGGCGCGCGGGCUGACCGCGCGGAGCGGGCCGCGCCACUGGGCCGCGCGCGCGCGUCGUGGGCGAGGGGCGGGAUGCUGGGCCGCCAUGGCCCAAAGCCAAGGGUGGGCGCGGGGUUUAGGCCGGCCAGGGUUUGGGGGCUGGGCCAGAUUUGGUGAAGGGAAAAAAAAUAAGAGAAAACUCUUUUAUAUUUUUCAGAACUAUAUAAUUGUAUAAAUUCCUUUCAAGUUGAUUUUUAAACCAAACAACCUAGUCUUACAAUCAAUCAAAAUAUUAUGCACCAGCAUGAAUGCAGCAUUUCAUGUUUCUAGACCUUAUGGUUUAUUUUAAAUAAUUCCAAAAAUUGUUAUUUUGCCUAAACAGUUCUCAGAUAAUUCACAUAAUUGUGCCAAAUUGAAUACUAAUUUGAAAAUAAAUUUUUAGGGUGUUACAAACCUACCCCCCUUAGGAUGAAUCUCGUCCUCGAGAUUCGGAUGGUUCAAAAAGACGAGGGUGCUCAGACUUUAAGUCAUCCUCUCUUUCCCAGGUUGCUUCAUCUGUUGAAUGCCUAUUCCACUGUACUUUGCACAUUCUUAUGGCCUUGCUCCUGGUGAUUCUUUCUGCUGUCUCCAAAAUUCUUACAGGAUAUUCUUUAUAGGAAAGGUCUUUUUGAACAUCGAGAUCUUCCAGAGGUAACUGUUCUUCGGGUACUCUCAGACAUUUCUUAAGCUGUGACACAUGGAAGACAUUGUGAACACUAGAGAGUUGCUCAGGUAAUUCCAGCUGAUAGGCGACUCCUCCUCUCCUAGCAAUGAUCUUAAAUGGCCCCACAUACCUAGGAGACAACUUCCCCUUUGUAUGAAAUCUCUUGACUCCUCUCAUAGGUGAGACCUUGAGAUACACAUAAUCUCCUAUUUGAAAUUCCAAAUCCCUUCUCCUGGUGUCUGCAUAACUUUUCUGUCGUGACUGUGCUAUUUUCAAGUUCUGUCUUACUGUGUGUACUUGUUUCUCUGCUUCUUGCAAGAUCUCGGGCCCAAAAACUUGACUUUCCCCAGUUUGACUCCAAAAUAGCGGUGUCCUGCACUUCCUGCCAUAUAAUACCUCAAAAGGUGCCAUUUUGAGGCUCUUCUGAUAACUAUUAUUAUAGGAGAACUCUGCAUAAGGCAAACUUUUGUCCCAACUUGUCCCGUACUGCAGGGCACAAGCUCUCAACAUAUCUUCUAGUAUCUGAUUUGUUCUUUCUGUCUACCCAUCUGUUUGAGGAUGGUAGGCUGAACUAAAAUUUAAUUUGGUAUCCAUGGACUCAUGUAGUUUAUGCCAAAAGUGUGAUGUAAACUGUGUCCCUCUAUCAGAAACAAUUUUCUUUGGCACCCCAUGUAAACACACAAUCCUUUCCAUGUACAAUUCUGCCAACUUUGCCCCGGAAUAGGUAGUCUUGACAGGGAUGAAGUGAGCUACCUUGGUUAAUCGAUCUACAAUAACCCAGAUAGAAUCGUAUCCUUUCUGUGUCCGAGGUAGUCCCACUAUAAAGUCCAUUCCAACUUCUUCCCACUUCCACUCAGGUAUUUUCAUGGGUUGAAGUAAUCCUGCUGGUCUCUGAUGUUCUACUUUCACUCGUUGGCAUGUAUCACAUAUAGCCACAUAUUCUGCUACAUCUCUUUUCAAGCCAUACCACCAAUAUCUUUCUUUUAGGUCGAGGUACAUUUUGGUGCUACCCGGGUGUAUAGAAUAAGCUGAGUCAUGAGCUUCUCUCAAAAUAGCCUCUCUAAUAGACUUUAUCUCAGGUACACAAAUCCUCUUACCGAACCAUACUGUUCCCUAGUCAUCCAUGUGGAAUCCUGGUGCCUUACCAAUCACUAUUCGUUCAGCGAUAUCUUUAAUUUUCUCAUCUUCCAGUUGUCCUUUACGGAUAUCUCGUUCUAGUGUGGGUUCCACCUCCAAUUCCAUAGUGUUAGCCACUAUACUCAGGUUUAGAUGUUCAAACUCUUCGCACAACUCCCUAGGUAAUUGAGUCACAUAAGCCAUAUUAACAUAACUCUUUCUACUCAGGGCAUCUGCCACUACAUUAGCUUUACCCGGGUGAUAGUGUACUUCCAGGUCAUAGUCCUUAAUCAGUUCCAACCAUCUUCGUUGUCUUAAGUUCAAAUGGGACUGGAUGAAGAUAUAUUUUAAACUCUUAUGAUCUGUAUAAAUCUCACAUUUAUGACCGAUUAGAUAGUGUCUCCAUAUUUUUAGAGCAUGCACCACGGCCGCUAACUCCAAAUCAUGGGUCGGGUAGUUCAACUCGUGUUUCCUUAACUGUCUAGAGGCAUAGGCCACCACUCUGCCCUCUUGCAUGAGUACACAACCAAGACCUUGCCGAGAGGCAUCACAGUAGAUAGAGAAACUCUUAGUGAUGUGAGGUAAGAUGAGUACGGGGGCAGAAGUCAGUCUCUUUUUCAACUCUUCAAAACUGGCCUGACACUCUUUGGUCCAUAUAAAUCUGGCAUUCUUUUCUAGCAGAGCGGUCAUUGGUUUGGCUAGCUUUGAGAAGCCCUCAAUGAAUCUUCUAUAGUACCCAGCCAUUCCAAGGAAACUCCUAAUUUCACUCACAUCUUUAAGUGGUUUCCAGCUUAACACAUCCUGAACCUUUUUCGGGUCCACUGCUACCCCUCCGUUAGAGAUGAUGUGCCCAAGGAAAGAUACCUCUUUUAACCAAAAUUCACAUUUACUAAGCUUAGCAUAGAGUUGAUGUUCUCUAAGCUUUUGCAGCACCAAUCUCAAGUGUUUCUCAUGUUCUAUCUCAUUCUUAGGGAAGACAAGUAUGUCAUCAAUGAACACAACCACAAACUUGUCAAGGUAUUCCAUGAAUACUUUGUUCAUCAAAUACAUAAAGUAGGCAGGUGCAUUUGUCAACCCAAAGGACAUAACUAUAAACUCAUAUAGUCCGUAUCGAGUCACAAAAGCAGUUUUAGGGAUAUCAGAUCGUCUUAUCCUUAACUGAUGAUAACCAGACCGAAGGUCUAUCUUAGAAAACACACAAGCUCCUUUCAACUGGUCAAACAGGUCAUCAAUUCUAGGGAGUGGAUACUUGUUCUUAAUUGUGACCUCAUUAAGUGAUCUGUAAUCUAUACACAUUCUUUGUGUACCAUCUUUCUUUUCUACGAAUAACACUGGUGCUCCCCAAGGUGAGGAACUUGGUUGAACAUAACCCUUAUCUAGCAACUCUCUUAAUUGCUUCUUAAGUUUUGCUAAUUCAUUCACACCCAUUCUAUAUGGUCUUUUAGCUAUGGGUGCAGUUCCAGGUACAAGUUCAAUUAUAAACUCAAUGUCACGGUCAGGUGGCAUACCUGGCAGUUCCUCAGGGAAUACGUCCGGAUACUCAUUCACUAUCCGUAUGUCCUCUAUUGAUGUCCCCUUCAAUUGAUUAACUGUGUAAUAUUGUUUAGCCGACAUGCUAACCUCUACCUCAAUUUGCUGGCCCGAAGGUGUCAUUAGCUGAACUAUUUUGCUAUCACAUUGUAUAACUGCUUUUCUCUGUUUCAACCAUUCCAUACCCAAGAUAACAUCAAUACCAGAAGUUUUCAAAACCACCGGGCUAACUGUAAACUCUACCCCCCUUAAGGUGAUGUUCACUAGAGGGCAUCUAAGGGUAGCUUGUAUUUCUGCUCCAGGUGAGCUAACUAUCAUGGAGUUUUUCAUAGCAAUCAUGGGUAUAUCAUAUUUCUUGACAAAAGACUGAGCAAUAAAGGAAUGUGAUGCACCGGAAUCGAAUAAAACUGUAGCGGGGCUUGAGUUGACUGGAAACAUACCGAGCAUCACGUCCGGUGCCUCCUGUGCCGCCUCGGCUGUCACAUGAUUUACCCUCCCUCUGAUAUUGUUCUGGGCCAUCUUCUUGGGGCACCUAUUGGAGUAGUGUCCCGGCUCACCACAACUGUAACAUUUGUUAUCAUUGUUGGCAUUUGGUGUUUUUGGUGCACCAUUCUUUGGUGGAGCAUUGGGAACAUUUGUUUUUACAGGAGCAUUAUUAACUGGCUGCUGACGUAGGUUAGGAGCUCGGUACUGCUGCUGCUGCUGUUGUGCACGUUGUGGCUGCUGAUUACGAUUGACCAGGCUUGACUGACCCUAAUAGCGUUGCUGUGGAUAAGCUUGCUGAGGAUUGGUAUGAGUACGCGUGUUGUUUCCUGACUGUUGUCCCUGGAACUUCCUUUUUUUAUCUUCCAUCUGGCGGUGUUUGUUCUCAAUCACCAAGGCCUUGUCCACCAGAUACUGAAAGCUUGCAAAAGUGUGGGAUAGCAGUUGGUAUUGGAGCCCAUCAUUCAACCCUUCCAUGAAUAAUUCCUGCCUUUUUUCAUCGUUCUCCACUUCUGUGGGAGCAUAUCGUGACAAUUGUAUGAACUUGUCACGAUAUUCAGCAACAGACAUACUUCCUUGCUUGAGGGAGAGAAAUUCUUUCUUCUUCAGUUUCAUCAGUCCGGCAGGGACAUGAUGAGAGCGGAAAGCAUUACGGAAUUCCAUCCAGGUUAUGGGGUCAGCAUCUGCAUGACCAAAACGAAAAGAAUCCCACCAAUCAAGGGCAGCUCCUUGCAAUUGCCCCGCUGCAUACAACACUUUCUCUCUGUCAUCACACUGUGCAAUCUCCAGUUGUCUUUCGAUCGCACGAAGCCAGUCAUCCGCUUCGAGAGGGUCGGUGGAGUGUUUGAAAACAGGUGGAUGUCCCUUCAAGAAUUCUCCUCUCUUGUCCCUAACAUGAGGAGGUGCAUUUCCAUUUCCAUUUCCAUUGUUCUGCAUGUUUUGGGCCAGCUGCUGCAGCAGUUGUGUUUGCAUCAUCAUUAGCUGCUCCAUAGUAGGAGGUGGUGGUGGUGGUGGCACGUCCUCACCCCUCCUGUUCCUCCUAGUGUUGGCCAUCUGUACCAGAUACAUAAUAUGAGUUUCAUAUGUCCAAUACACUUAAUUUCCAAGAGAUAUAGCAUGCUGGAAUUAUUACCAUCUGACCAAGUAUGGGAUUACAUAUGUUGUGAGUACAAUGUAGUAUGCAUUCUGUAUUUUCUGCUGUCCUCACUAAAGCUACCGUGAAGUAAAACAAGCAUAUCUUUCUUUCUGUUUAACAUCUCACUGCGAAAUUUAACUUUCUGGAAAGCUUGGAAAUUUUCCUAUAACUUUCGUUCAGAUCACUUCCUCAAAUUCUGGCGUUUACAUAGGUAAAAACAAGUGACAACUUUUACUGUUCUGGAAUUUCUGACUGCGCAGAGAGGUCACCUUGUAGAAAUUUUAUCUCUCAAAUGGUAACAGAUUUUGAGGUGAUUCUAGAGCCAAAAGAAAGAUAUAGAAAUCUAUUUUAUUCCAAAAUUUUUUUGUAUUUUUAGUCCAUCCAGAACUCGGAAUAUACAAUUUUUAAGGCGGACUGCUCAAAGGAAAAACAUGGGUAGACAGCAAGAUAUAAGUAAAACCCAACUAUUUAUUCAUAUUAUCCUUAGACCUUAGCCCUAUUCUAAAUGACUGUGGACAGGCCUAGAAUCAUUGAAAUCAUGACAAAAAUCCAACUCAUCCAUUAAGCAUUAUUACAAGCAUGCUUUCACGAAGUAGCAAUUGUUCAAUUAGUAAAAAAAAAUAAAAACACAUUCUCGCAUCUCUAUGCGUGUUUAUUACAAAUGGGGGAAACCUCCUAUGGGUCAAGGUUGGUGCCGGUGUUGGGGUCCUCGUGGUUCCUUGGGGGUGACUCCGCGAGGAUGAGUGGUACUUCUUCAACAUGACUCCCCUGCUGUUGCUUUAACAUGGAGUUCUCGACAGCCAACUCAAGGUAGGCCUUCCUCAGGGCAUCUAGCUCAUCUGAGCCAAGCAUGCCAGGGUGGGUCGGAUCCUGGGAUUCCCUGCUACAAGUGGUGCAGCGAUGUUGUAGAUUGUCUGACCACUCCGCCGGCGGGGUAGAUAGCGAUCUUCUUCCCAUGCAAUGUCAGCAAAGUGGCGGUCGCGGUUCACCACCAAGGCCUGCCGGGCAGCGUCCCGGAUAGCUGCUGCACGGGUAGUCCUGGCGGUGAUCGCACGGUGGAUGUGACACACCCGACUUCCUUCUCGGAUGUAAGCUUCAGUCUCCCAAAAGCCGAUGUAGUCGGGGUGGGUCCAAUGCUCGGUGCGGUACUGUACGGUACACCGGGUGUGGAAACGACGUGCGAGAGUAAGAAGCUUCGGGUGGUAGUAGGCGUCACCAUGUAAGUCAAAAUAGAUCACCACUGUCCAUCCCUUUGCCAGAAGCGCAGCAUGGUGAUCUUGGCUAUCUCCAUCAUCAUCACUACCACUGCCAUGGUCGCUCGAGUCAGAGCUGUCAGAACUAUCUCCAUCAUCUGGAUCACCAGCUCCUUCUUGUUCAUCUUGCUCCAUGGGCUCCUCUUCGGUUUCCUCGUCUUCAACUGGUUCCUCUAUCAUGACUUCCUCCUCAGCAUCCUCAUCCAUGGGUACAUCCAUGGUUCGUUCCUCUUGUGGAUCCUCCUCCAUGUCUCUCAGUGCUUCAACCAGAUGCGGGGGAACACGCUUGCCUAGAGUGAACCUUGUCCUCUUGUUGGGCAUGAUGACACGUUUUCGAGCUGUCCACUUGGUACGGGCCAUCUAUAUAAGAAAAUAUAUGAGGAUUAGAACAAAAUAAUUUUCUCAAUAGAUAUUAGGCAGGUUAUAAGCAAUAAUUUUAUAAGAAAAUAAUUAGUAAAAUAAGUGCUCAAGACCCUAAAAACGUCCAUUUCUAACUAGGCUGAUCGUCCUACAGUCAGGCUAAGCUUUGAUACCAAUUUGUCGCACCCAGUUUUGAUAACAAAACCAAGUACUCAAAUAUGUGCGCCCAGGAUGUCCAAACACACAUAUUAUCACAAAUUGUAAAUAUAUCAAAGUAAAGUACUUUAUUACACCGCAUAUUCAACUUAAAUAUCUCACAUAGUCUUGCUCAUUGGCAACAUUAUUACAUAAAGCGGAAAGCUAAGCCCUUGCUGCCACAGGGACGCCAACUGGUGAACACCAGCUCUUUAGAAGUCCUGGACAUCUUCAGGGAACUCCCCAGAACACACAUCUGUUACCCAUCUGGGAUUUUCAUUGAAAUAUAAACAAGUGUAAGCGCACCAUGCUUAGCAAGUAUAACAUAGGGGUAUAUGAAGGCUCAAAGGCUUGACUCGGUUUAACAGCGGUUAGCAUUUUAAUUGGUCAUAUUUUAUUUACCAAGACUUACUACUUUUAAUGAAUGACCAACCCUGGUUACAUAAGAAUUAAUCAAAGUUAUUAUAUUCCCCAAGUAUAGCCAGGUAACCGCUAACCAAGAAGGAUCCAGGUCGCUCAUGACCGAGAGCUCGGCUGUUAUAACAAGUUUUAGAUUUCUGCAGAAAUUGUACAACUUUACCCCCGAGCCGUGGUUCCCUAGUGUCGGGGUUUGCAAGGCCCACACCACUUCUACCGAGGAAGUGUGACCGGGUCCCACUACGUAACCUUUCACUAGUCAUCCUAACAAAAUAGUAGCCGCGAGGUUUCAGUGGCAAGUGUGCAUAGACGACCUCCUUCAAGAGGCGCAUGUGGUCGCAGCACUGUACACUCCAAGGUAGGAGUGACAUCUAUACACCACGAGGCACCCCCCUCUAGCGCCUUUCGGUAACUACUAAAUUGCUAGAGUCAUACUAGUUAUAUGAUUAAGGUCAGAGCCAUUUGACUCUCGGGAUUGUACGUGUCCUCCUGGGUGGCCGCUUCAGGAUUAAGUCCUUAUGGAGAGGAAUCUAGAGCUUUCAAACCCAAGCUCUAGCCCCCUGAACCAAGUUACUAGAACAUAUUUUAUCACGUUGCAUAUACUACUUAAUCAGAUUAAUUUAUUAACUUGGGUUUUGAGCGUAGCAAGCAACUAACUAAAUAAAUGCACACCUUCCCAUGGGUAACAAGGAUUUGUGGUACAAAAAUUAUCUAGGUAAAGUCCUUAUAGGUAUUUUAAUUUAGACACAUGCAUAUGUAUGAUUUAAAUAAUAUUCAUAGGUACAAGGAAGCCUAUAUUACACUUGCCUUCCUCAAAAAUUUCUUCUUGGUAGAGCUCCACAAACUGCUCCUCAACCACUCCAACGUGAUCUCCUUCUAUUCGUGAUCCAAACACCAAUCAAGCAUCCAUUCCAAUCAUCACAUGCAUACAAAUAGAGUUCUAUUAGAACAGUACACCAAACAGUGAAAACAGUGACUGAAAAGUACAUAAAUCUACUCUACGCAUUUCUACGAGCACAUGAGCGAAAGAAUCACUCCAAUCGGAUUUAAAAUGUGAAAGUUAUGCAUAAAACAAACUGAAUGGCAUUUCUGUGAAUAAACUGAAUUAAAAACGAAUUUAAAAGAAUUAAAAACUGAAUUUCUAACGGGUCUGGACCACGCGCACUAAUAUUUAAAAGUAAGGGUUCAAAACGAAAGAAAACAGGAUUAAAAAGAAAUACUUUUGAACUGGAUUGGACCGCGGGUUGAUUUGCUUGAAAAAGGGGGGUUAAAGUGCAAAAACUCCAGCGGCCCGCGGCUGACCGCGUUGCUGGCCGACAGGGGGGCACGUGGCGCGCGGGGGUUGGCUCGGUCCACCACUGUGCGCGUGGACCGGCCGGCCGAGUGCCGUGGACCGCGCCCAUGGGUCCACGGUGGACCGGUUACAUAACCCCGAAGGGGUAUGUAAUCUGGGCCGUUGGGAUCUAAUCGGGCGGCUCAGAAAGGAGGGAGGCGGGGCGCUCGCCUGGCCGAGGCCGAGCACGGCGGCGCCAUUGCCGCCGACGAGGUGAGCUCCUCGGAGCUCGCCGGAAACUCGUUCCUGACCACUCCAAACAAAAAUAAAACUACCGAAAUGAUCAGCGCGACGAGGCGAACACGAUAGGGCACAAAGAGAGGGCGGGGUGCACGUCGGGACGACGGCCCCGCGGUGGCGCCAUUUCCGCGGCCUCGGCGAGCCUUGGGCUCGGCGGUCUAACACUCUAGCUCGAAAUUGAAAGCACGGGGAGCAUCGUAGGUGUACCGCGGUUCCGUUGGAGACGUUCACGGCGUCCGAAGGUGCUCCGAGCAGUGUGGCCACGAGCGCGGCGGUCUGGGGAAGAAAAUGGCGACGGUGAGCUCAAAUUCAUGGCAUACAAGAUCAAAACAAAGAUGAAAUCGGUGCCUACGGUCGCGGCGAGUCUCAACCAAGCUCCCGGGACGCUCUCUGGGCUCUGGGUCGCUCGAGCAAUGGGAAACCGAGGUGGGGGAUCGAAACUGUGCUCCGGUGGUGGCUAGGGGCAGCAAGGGGGGCUCGGCCUGGGGUUUUAUAGGGCGAGCAGGGGCGUUGAGGGGGCGCGCAUGUGGGUGUUAACUCCCGGCGUCAAGAGGUUUGAUGGAGCCCCGAUUGAUGGCCUCCAUCAAUCGGCGUUUGAAGAGGGGAUGAAUGCUCCUAGCUGCGUUCCCGGCUCGGUGGAGAAGAAGGGGGGAGACGCUGACGUGCGGACCCCACGGUGCAGCGAGAGAGAGGGGGAAGGGUGAGCGCCGACAGGCGGGACCCACCGCGCAGUGAGAGGGGGAGAGGGGGAGGGCGCGCGGGCUGACCGCGCGGAGCGGGCUGCGCCACUAGGCCGCGCGCGCGCGUUGUGGGCGAGGGGCGGGAUGCUGGGCCGCCACGGCCCAAAGCCAGGGGUGGGCGCGGGGUUUAGGCCAGCCAGGGUUUGGGGGCUGGGCCAGAUUUGGUGAAGGGAAAAAAAUAAGAGAAAACUCUUUUAUAUUUUUCAGAACUAUAUAAUUGUAUAAAUUCCUUUCAAGUUGAUUUUUAAACCAAACAACCUAGUCUUACAAUCAAUCAAAAUAUUAUGCACCAGCGUGAAUUGUGCCAAAUUGAAUACUAAUUUUAAAAUAAAUUUUUAGGGUGUUACAAAUAUAAAUAUAUAUAACUAUGAAAAACCAAAUAAAGAUCUUGUGCUUAUAUAUAUAUAUCUUUUGCUUAGUGUGUUUAAUAAAUAAAUAAAGUGGCUAUGCUAAUCUGUAUCUAAAUAAAACUCAAGCUUGGAUAUGAUGAAUAGUUGCUCUGCCUAAUUUGCACAUUUUAAGUUCUCUCUCAAGUUUAGACAUAACUGUUAUAAUUUAAAGCUUGCUCUAGACCUAAACUUGUGGGAUGAAAACUUGAUCUGAAGUCUAAGUUGCUAACGGAUACGAUAUGGGAAGGUUGAGCUGCUAUUUAUCUGUUCCUAGAGAUGCUAGAAUUCUGGAGAAUUUUGUCUUUGAAAAUCUUUAAAAUAUUGCAUGAUGAGUUCCUGUAUGAUGAGAGUUUAAAUUCCUACCACAGCCAUAUAUAUAUGCUUGCUAGACUUUGAGCCACACAUUUACUAUUUACUGCUUAUGAGCAUUGAGUGUGGUCAAGCUGUGUAGACCCUUAGAAGCUUGUCAUGUGGUUAAAUCAAGAUUUCACUUGCACAUUCACUCAUAUAUGCUACUUCUACUCCGAAAGUACCAUCCACAUAUAUCCAUCAAUUUCCAUCUCUAGAAUCACCUAAAAAUAUUCUACUCCUAAUCCGGGAGAGAAUAACCAAAAAUAUUUCUGUUUUUCCCUGUGAAAUAAAUGCUCAAGUUAUCUUGUUACUACCACUUGCUAUAUUAUCUCAAGACUGAGUGCUCUAAUAAAAAGAGAUACGAGGAAAUAAAAAUGAGCAAGUGCUCGGAACCUCGAAAGAAAAGAAAAAGUGAGACGUGAGGUAAAAAUGGAUAAGUGUCCGACAGUAGAAUUAGGGGUAUGAGAUACCCACCUGAGAGGAAAGAAAAUGAAGAGCAUCUCAUUCUCCUCACUAUUCAAAAAGCAAGGAAGGUAUAUAUCCCCUUAAAGAGCAAAAGUAGAAUUAGACUUUCACCACUGUUACCACCAUCAUCACCAUACACCAUUCAUUCGCCACACAUGCACAUCUUGAUUAAACUUAUUGACUUGUUACUUUGGAUCCAUGGUUUGACUAUACAAUAAAUGUCUUCUAAGUAUGUAUAUUUUAUCUCCCACCUAAGAAAUCCAGAUAUUAAAGCCGUAUUAGAGUAGGGUGAGAGAUAAGAUAAUGUCACUAUGCUUCAUACCACAAAUACUACAUAUCUUGAGAGAAGGCAUAUACCAUCACUGCCUUGGUAAGGAUCUAGAAAUACCACAAAAGAGAGAUUUGAGAGAAACAUACAAGGAAUCUCUGAGUUUUAUUUGAAAAUCUGCAAAAACUUCAGAGCUAUAGCUGAUCAAGAAUAAGAGACAUGACACUUGACUAGACUGUUCUAUAUUUUAACUACUCAAGACAGAAGUGACGGUUACAAGUCCCAUGGUGAAAGGUAAAGUAAGUAAGUUUUAAGUCUUGACAGUUUACUCUAACUCAGAGAUGAGAUCUUAUUUAAAAACAUGUGUACCGUCAAAUUUUUUUAAGAUAUUGCAACAACUUAUGAUCCAUUACUGAGUCUAUCUUUGCUCAGGGACGAGCAAGAGGUAAGCUUGGGGGAGUUUGUUGACGGUCCUUAAGUAUCAAAAUUAUUAAUCAAAUAAACAAAGAAAAGGAUCCAAAUGAAAUCAACAUCUAGACUUAGGGUUUUAUCUGACAGAAUUCCACGAGUUUUGGUGUUUGUCUAUUUCUACAGGGGGUUAUCAAGAAAUAUGGAAGAAAGGCCCACACGUCGGGAUUACAAAGAGAUAUUAACAUGCCACACAAUUAUCUUACAUCUAGAAGACUCCAGAAGCCACGAGACCGAAGCGGAGACGAAACGGGGCCAGAGGCAGGGCGCCCGCCCCCUCCCUGAGUCCAAUCAGGACUCUGCUUCGUGGGAGAUCUCCACCGACCUAAAGGAUGAAUCUAAACCAUACAAUCUAUGUCGGUUUGAUCCAACGGCCCAUAUUUACUUGAAGGGACUAUAAAACCAGACCCCCUGGCCCCUGGAGGAGAGAGCCUCUCAACCCUAAUUCAUUAUUCCUCAAGGGAGAAGAAGCCUCUGAUCAAGAUUAGAGCCACCACAUCAAUUAGACAUCUAGAUUAGCAUAGCUACAUAGGAUUAGAACUAAAAGGAGUUAAUCUUUGAUUGGUUUCCGGAUCUGUCAAGAGGAUUCUUGGUAAUUCUCUAAUUGUGCUUCUAAUUGCUUUCUAAUUAUUGUUGACGGUCCUUAAGUAUCAAAUUUAAUUAUCAAAUAAACAAAGAAAAGGAUCCAAAUGAAAUCAACAUCUAGACUUAGGGUUUUAUCUGACAGAAUUCCACGAGUUUUGGUGUUUGUCUAUUUCUGCAGGGGGUUAUCAGGAAAUAAGGAAGAAAGGCCCACAUGUCAGGAUUACAUAGAGAUAUCAACGCACCGUGCAAUUUUCUACCAUCUAGAAGACUCCAGAAGCCACGAGACCGAAGCGGAGGCGAAACGGGGCCAGGACAUGGGCGCCCGCCCAGUUUCCUUGGGCGCCCGCCCACCUGCCGAGCCCAAUCAGGACUCUUUCUCUCAGGAGAUCUCCACUGACCUAUUGGAUCCAGAAUAACGUAGUACCACAUCGCCUACCGACAUGAAGAAGUUAUCAUAGAGAUUGAGGGGUGCCCUCGAAGGAAAACCUCUUCUCUAAAUAAUAUUUCUUUUUAGGCUUAGCAACCAAUGUAAGGUAGAAAUAGAUCUUCUAGUUUCUACUAGAUUGAGAGAGAUAGAGUGGAGGUGUGGAUCAGAGGAAGGCCGGCCUGUCGGUGUCUACUCCGAGUUGUACCUACGGGAUCAAGUCUCCUAACCUGAGGCUUGCUUCUAAGAUUCUUCAGUAAUUCGACUUCUAAUUACUAGUAAGUUCUUGUUUUAUUGUUCUUUGGUUUAUGAGUUUACUUUAAUCCUCUUCCGGUUGAGUAUUAGAGUAAUCACUUGCUAGCGUAAACGUGGUGUUUAGGCUAGGGUACUCAUAGAUAUCCCCUGACUAGCUGGACCGUGGUAGUAGCGAGGAACGUGACAUUUCCGAGUUACCUUUGUAUCCCAUAUCUUGUUAGCAGGACGGGUAGGGUUUAUAGGUGCGGGUCGAACAUCCUUUGUGUUGUCUAGAUUCCGUGAGCUUCCCCAAUAGAACAGUAGAUCAUCCUUACCAAGGUUAGAACGAGACUACGGUUGCAGUCUUCUCUAUACAUCACUCACAUCGAGAAACAUUCUUUGUAGCCUAAAGGGAUAGUAGCAAUAGAUUUGGUUAGUCAGAUGCACCCUUUCUCCCAGUGGUAAAAAUAUAAAUACGAUACUCUGGAAAACCUCCCGGGUGAAAUGCUCACCGAUAUCCGUGCGCUUGCGGAUCAUUUCCUGAUUGCGUUACCAAAUAUCAACAAUUAUCUUUGUUCUUCAAUAUUAUGAAUAUGACUUUGUUCUACUUCAAUAUAUUGCUUAUGAUUUUGCUCUACUUGCUUAUAUUCAAGAUUAUAUUGUUCUUAGUUUAUCAUAGUUAUGUACUUGGCUUAGUUAGAUUGGAUCUAUAUACAUGCUUAGGAUCGUAUAGCGUUUAUCCAUUGGAUCCAUGGGUAAAUGAUAGAUAUUGUGUAGGCAUGGUGCUUAUACCGUAUUUAUCUGCGAUUGUACCCAAUAUGUCAAAUCGUGGGGUAGUUCGUGAUAGUGACAGCUUCAUUUAUUCUUAUAUAGUCCCUCUCUCGUGUAUUGGGCUGGCAGAGCAACAUUAUUACAGGGGAGUGAUUGCUAUGUUUCUCAUUUACCUUGCUAAUAUCACUAUGCAUGGGCGUAGUCUUGGCUCACAAUGAUUGCUAAGUAUGCUUGUACUAACUAUGAUAAUGCUAGACUAUAUAGUUGAGAAUAACUUAGGGAAUAUUCUUGUAGUUCGUUCUAAUACCAUGCUAAUGACUUUCUAGAGUAUGUAAUUGAGGUGCUUAUCAUAUUUAUAUGUGGCUGAUCAGAUUAAUUAUCUUUGUCACUAUUCAUUACUUCAUAUAUCUUUUAUGACACUUAUCCCUGUAUGAAAGAGUUAGAUAACUGUUCUCAAUUAUACUUGCAAUGAUAGAUACUCAAUCUCAUAUUCUAUUCUCUAAUCAAUAUUGAUGAUUGCUAAUCCCUUCCCAGUGGUAAAAAUAUAAAUAACGAUACCUAGAAUACUUCCCGGUUAAAAUGCUACAUCGGUAUUAAUCUGUGUGCUUGCAGAUCCAAUUCAUUAUUUAUUUAGAAGAGCAAUUGCAUAUUUCAAUACCGCGUCUCUCAUGUCAUGCUGGGGAUGACAACUUGGCUUAAGUGGUAUGAGGGAUAGGUUUGGCAUUUUUGGCACCGUUGCUAGAAUUAGAAAACUGUCUACUUUUGGUAAUGAUGUUAAGAAUACCCAACAUGUAAAGAACCCAAUUAAAAGGACUUAAGCCGGGCGGAGUUUUGCAAGGUUGUAGUAACUCCAUCUGUGGCAGCUAAGGACCGAUCGUUGUACGUCCUCUUAUCAUGUUGAACGCAUGCCUAACACUUAGUUGGCCGGAUAACUCGUUCCGACCGCGAAGCCUAGUAGUAUGACUCAGGCCGGAAGACCGACAAGUAUAAAGUGCGCACUACCGGAGGAAGUACGGUGUGCGGAGGACCAUUGGCGUAAGACCAAAGGCAGGUGAGUUAAAAGUCCUGACCUCUCUGGCUGAGUGGUAGCCCUGGGAGUGCGGCGCUGAUCGGAGCCGCGAUUCUUGAGUCGUACCAAAGGUGACCCGUUUGCUCUCCGACAGGGGAUGCUUGGGUGAGUGCUAGGAAUAACCGUCCAGCUGGAUAGGAAUGGAUUCGAAUCGCCAUCUCUCCCGGAUAGUGAGAACUUGACAGAGCAGCAACAAACGUAGAAAUCACUAAGUAACUAUGGUUCUUGAUAAUGAUGUUGAUGAUAGCAAGGAAGAACAUAUGAUGAACUAGAUAUGGUUAUUAUUGCUUAUAUUAAUCGAGUGAAGUGCUUAGUAUAGGUGCUAAUCUAGUGGUAGGCUAAUGAUGAGUAAUAUAAUGCUUUUACAUAUGGUGUAGUAUCCACUUAAGCUUUUGGCAAAAUGUUGAGUCAAGCCAGCUAGACUUUAUACUCAGACUUGUAUGAUCCUUGGUGUCUUUUAUGUUUUACUAGAUGGGUAAGUCUAGCUGAGUACAUCCUCGUACUCAGGGUUUAUUCCCACCUGUUGCAGAUGAUGUUUUUUAUGAUGGCUUCUGCAAGACCUGUCUCCAUCCCGCUGGGGAUGAGGACUAAACCAUUGGGCAUGGUUCUCUAACGUCUUCGCACCUUGUUGCUUUUGAUGAAUGGCAUGAGACUCUGGCAAUAACAAGAACUUUAGAAUGUGUGUUGUAAACUAUUUUGCUUCCACUACUGUGAACUUGGGUUGUAAUAACUAAGUAACUCUGAUGUGGUGCCGCUUCGACGGCAAUGAAUGACUAUGUAACCUUUGUUGUGUUAUGUUGAACUAUUACGAUCUUGGUUUGUUGCAAGUUGGUUUGAAGUCCUUCGAGAUUUCAGUUGACUACCGGGAUUAUAUGGGCUCAAGUCUAGAAACUUGAUUGCUAGUUGAUCGUUUCUACACUUGAACUCUUAUAAUUUGGUCGGUUCUGUGACAGCUGGUAUCGGAGCAAGUUCAGCAUUAUAAAUGCAGCGUUUGUGUAUUUAAAACAAAAGAAUUUUUAAAUAAACUGUGAAAAUCAGUACUUAAGUUAUGCCAGUGGUCGAAUCCUCCUUGCCCAUAUAAGGACUUUAGGUGGCUAUUUAAGUACUGGCUUGGGGGGUUUUAUUUAUGCAUCUCCGGCAGUACUUAGGUAUGGAUGUGUGAUGACCGCACUAUGCUACCCUGGGGUCUAAUGUUAGAGGUAGCCUUCAUAUGUGAAUUAGCCAUAUAUGUCGCUAGAUUUAAAUUAUGCAACGUCGCAACUACGCUCUGGUAAGUGUGAGCUGUGAGAGCAUGAUCGUCCAAAUGGCGGUCUAGGGGAGUGUUCGCGGUGGUUUUCUGCAGUGGUUACAUGUCAAACCAUGGAACCACGAAAGAAACUUAAUUGGGGAGCAUUUAAUUUCUCGGGUAGCUAUGGUGUCAUUGUUUGUGCAUGUUGGGCAUGUAUAAGCAAUGUGCACUUAGUUUACUGCUUUCUUGAGUGAAAUAUUGGGAAUUGUUGGGCUGCAAUGAAGUUUUCUGCAGGUACUCUAACAGCGCACGUGUAAAUCGAUAGUUAUCGUAUUGAGAGACGAAUGUAUGCCACCGUAUAUCCGUUAGAAUAUUAAUUUUCUAAGUUUGUGAGGAUGUGUCGGUUCGUGCAUGCAUCAUGUCGCAUUUAUACAUACAUUCUGUCUACUCCUUCCCUUACAAUGUCGUCCCUUUUAAUUAAAUAAAUGUUGCUCAAAUUAAUGCUCUCUUACCCAUGGUUAUUCCUUUCCACAGAUGGACGUGCCCGCUUCACCUUGCCCCAAUGACACCUUUCUGAGCGAGUUUGGCACUCCUACUCUGCUCUGGAGGGUGCUGCAGUCUGUGGGGUAUACUGAGCCACCUCAGUAUUCUUGGUGGGAGGUGGAUAUGACAGGAGACUUGCAGUGGUUCGCUAUGUAGGGAGUUGUCCCCCCACAUGGGGGCAGACCUGCAUGGACUGGGUGGACCUGCAACUCAAAUGGGCAGACCCCAUGGGAAGCAGCUCAGAUUGCAGCCCAUGCUAUAUUGCUCAACAUCUGUCAGAGGUUGGCGAUGAGCUGACAGGAGGGCCAGCAGCCUCCAUUCCACAUGUUGACCCAGCAGCAGCGGAGUGGAAGCAGGCUGAUGGUUGUGCGUUGGUCCGAGGCCAAGGAGAGCGAGCUGAGAGUUUCAGUCCUGCUAUGAGUGCUAUGAUGGCUGUGCUCAAGCUGUUCAGUCAGCGAGAGGACACCUAUACAUAGGUGAUGGUGGCUAUUCGCUGUGCUCAGGAGAUGCAAUAGAAGGCUGAAAAGCGUGCUCGCAAGUUUCGCAAGCAAGCUAGACUUCUGGAGCAAGCCCAGAAGGACCGCAAUGACUGGGAAGACAUUGCGGAGUAUCGCUGGUAGUAGUGGGUGAAGGCCAUUAGAGAGAGAGAUCACAAGCAGGACCAGGUGAGUCAGUUGGCUAGAGAGAAGGAGACCGUGCAGGAGCGCUUGGUGCAGAUCACUCGUGAGAGGGAUAAUGCACUCCGUGUGUCGGAGAACAGGCACCGGGCAUGAGAGAUGCACCAGAUCCAGUCGCUUGAGCGGGAGAACUAUCUACAGGAUCUGAUUGAGGCUGGUCUUGUGGAGAUUCACUGUCUCAACAACUUGCUACACCCUAUUCCUCGCCCUGUACCUGUGUAUCUAGAGGUGGGACCUCAGGUGAUCGUGGCUGAUGAUGAUGGUAUGGAGGUAGAUGGACCGGCCGCGGCUACACCACCUUUGCAUGAGGACGUGGAGGACAAGGAGCUUGAGCCGGUUAGCGACGAGGAUGGAGAGGCGAUCUUCAACGCUGACUCAGACGACGAGCCUAGAGUGUAGUGGGUAGUUGGUAGUCAUCCUGUGAGGAUCUUUUGUAGAAUGAUAGUCGGCAGUUAUGCUUUUGUAAUCAUGUUGUAAUCUGGAACCUUGACCUUUGACUUAUGGCCUGUACUGUGAUGGUGUAAUAACUUUGUGGACGCAAUGUUGUUAACUGUAUCAUGUUCGAUCAGUUAUGAUGAUAUUUUCCGUUGUUGUGCAUAUUGCGGAUAUCUGUGUUAUGUGUUGGAAUUGGUGAUGUUGUUUUGUGGAAUUGAAUUAUUGUGCCUUUUUUUUGUAAAGUUAUUCUCUCGAAUACUUUUAGGCAUGAUUAUAAGUUCUUCUACGGCAAAUCUUGUCAUCAUCAAUGCUCACUGACUAUGUCUUUACAGAUGUCUCGUGGCACUCGAGGUGCAGAACAACGUGCGAACAUGAACCCACCCCCUCCUCCUCCACCACCAAAUCUAGUUGAGCUGAUGCAAAUGAUGGUGGAAAAUCAGAGGCUGCUCACUGAAACCAUCAAUCAGAUGGCAAACCAGGGUGGUCGGAAUGCACCAAAUGGGCCAGCACCUAAUCAGUAUAGUAGCUUCAAGGAUUUCAUGGAUACCAAGCCUCCAUCUUUCAGAGAGGCUGAAGAACCCCUUCAGGCUGAGGAGUGGCUGAACACGGUGGAACAAAAGUUUCGCUUGCUUUGGUUGACCGAUAGUUUGAAGGCCGAGUAUGCGGCUCAUCAAUUGCAGGGUCCAGCAGGCAUCUGGUGGAAUCAGUAUCGGGAGGCUCUUCUAGCCAACACUGUGAUUGUCUGGAAUCUCUUCCGUGAAGCUUUCAAGGGGCAUUUCAUACCUCCUGGUGUCAUGGAGAUGAAGCAUACUGAGUUCAUGCAGUUAACUCAGGGCAACAGAACUCUGAAAGAGUAUUUACAUGCUUUUAAUCAUCUAUCAAGGUAUGCUCUGGAGUUUGUGAGCACGGAGUCGAAGAAGAUUGCUAGCUUCAAGCGGGGUCUUGGCCCCAAGUUGCUGAAGACUAUGGGCUGCACAAAGUGUGCAACUUUUAAUGAGUUUGUCAGUGAUGCUCUUACCCAAGAGAAUUACAACACUGUGUACACUACGACCAAGACUCGCAAGAGGGCUUUUGAGGCUGAGGCAGGGGCAUCUCAGUCCAAGGCUCCAGUGGCAGCUAGGCCCCAAUAUCGUGCUCCAACUCCUAACCAGCGAUAUCGCCCUCCAGCAAAGAAGAAUCAGGCGAAGACGGGGUUCCGCAAGGGGUACUCCAUUGCUCUUCCUAGGGGCAACACUGGGCCCAGCUAUGCCAAGACUCCACCUGCCAACCGUCCGUGCUGGAACUGUAAUUAGACAGGGCACUGGCAAAGCUACUGUCCUUACCCUCCAAAGAAGGGCAACCAAGGGAACGUCCGCCAGGGGCAUGUUCACUAUAUGACUGUGGAAGCAAUCCCUGCUGGUGAGGUAGUUACAGCUAGUAAGUUUUUGGUUAACCAAUGUGAUGCACUUGUGCUUUUUGAUUCAGGAGCAUCACAUUCUUUUGUGAGUUCAGACUUUGUGUCUAAACAUAAUCUCAAGGUAGUUACGCUUGAUAAAGGCAGUUAUUGUAUUAGUGCUGCUGGAAAUGAUAUUUCUACCAAUCAAGUGGUUUUGGGGGCCACUCUGGAAAUAGGAGACCAUCAUUUUCUUGCUGAUCUGGUUGUUCUACCCGGUGUGGCUAUAGAUGUAAUUCUGGGUAUGAAAUGGAUGAGUGGCAACGGAGUUCUUAUCGACACCACCACUCGCGUAGUGAUGUUGAGAGACCCGAAUACCAAAGAGGCGUUAUUAGUGCAACUCCCUCGGGAUAUUCAUAUCCAUAGCACGAUGAAUGCAAUUACAUCUAUGGCCAUCAAGGAUAUUCUGUAGUGUGUGAGUUCCUGGAUGUAUUCCCUGAUGAUUUGCCCGGGCUUCCUCCAGAUCGGGAUGUGGAGUUCAAAAUUGAAUUGCUUCCAGGUACUGCUCCUAUCUCUAGAAGACCGUAUAGAAUGCCGCCAAAUGAGCUAGCUGAGCUUAAGACCCAGCUGAAUGAGUUGUUAAAGAAGGAUCUUAUCUGUCCUAGUUCUUCUCCUUGGGGUUGUUCGGCCAUCUUUGUGAAGAAGAAGGAUCAGUCCUUGCGCAUGUGUGUGGACUAUCGUCCCCUGAAUGCGGUGACCAUCAAGAAUAAGUACCCUCUUCCUCGCAUUGAUAUCUUGUUUGCUCAGUUGUCUAAAGCCAAGGUAUUCUCCAAGACUGAUUUGCGAUCUGGAUAUCAUCAGAUCAUGAUCCGUCCUGAAGAUGUACCUAAGACAGCUUUCUUGACGAGGUAUGAGUUGUAUGAGUAUCUCAUCAUGUCCUUCGGUCUUACGAAUGCACCUGCUCACUUCAUGUAUCUCAUGAAUUCGGUGUUCAUGCCUGAAUUGGACAAGUUUGUGGUGGUCUUCAUUGAUGAUAUCUUGGUAUAUUCUCACAAUGAAGAAGAGCAUGCAGAGCAUCUGCGUGUAGUGUUGAUGCGCUUGCAUGAGCAUCAGCUUUAUGCUAAGUUCAGCAAAUGCGAGUUUUGGCUAAAGAAAGUACCUUUCUUGGGCCAUGUAUUAUCUGAAGAAGGCAUAUCGGUGGAUCCGGAUAAGGUGUAGGAAGUGCUGGAUUGGAAGGUUCCAACUUUGGUGCACGAGGUUCGGAGUUUUCUAGGUCUGGCUGGGUAUUAUCGUCGUUUCAUCCCAGAAUUCUCAAAAAUAUCCAAGCCUAUGACUCGCCUACUUCAGAAGGAUGAGAAGUUUGUGUGGACGCCUGAGUGUGAAGAGGCAUUCCACAAGUUGAGGACAUUACUAACAUCAGCUCCUAUCCUAGCUCAACCCGAUAUUGAGAAGCCCUUCGAUGUCUUUUGUGACGUGUCGGUUAUCGGUCUGGGCUGUGUGUUGAUGCAAGAAGGUCGCGUUAUCGCUUAUGCCUCACACCAACUUCAAAAACAUGAGGUCAAUUACCAUACUCAUGACUUAGAAUUGGUGGCAGUUGUCCAUGCUUUGAAAAUUUGGAGUCACUAUUUGCUAGGUAAUCUAUGCAAUAUCUACACUGAUCAUAAGAGUCUCAAGUACAUCUUCACCCAACCUGAAUUGAACAUGCAACACUGGCUUGAGUUGAUUAAAGAUUAUAAUCUUCAAGUGCACUAUCAUCUGGGCAAGGCAAACGUGGUUACGGAUGCCUUGAGUCAGAAAGCGCACUGUCAUUCAGUUCAGAUAGAAGAUCCAUCAUUGGCACGUCUUAUGCACCCGCUUGUGCUCAACCAGAUUGCUCUAGAGAGUUCUCUUCGCAAUCGAGUCAUCAAACUGCAGCAAACAGAUGUAGGCAUCUACCAUAUAAAGAGGAAAAUGAAAGAAGAAGAAACCAAGCAUUUCCGAGUCGAUGAGAAUGGAAUCCUAUGGUUUAAGGAUCGACUGGUGGUCCCAAAAGACCGUGAGCUGCGAAAUCGGAUCUUAUCUGAAGCUCAUUCAUCCAAGUUGUCUAUCCAUCCUGGUAGUAGCAAGAUGUAUCAGGAUCUGAAACCUCUGUUUUGGUGGACAAAGAUGAAAAAGGAGAUUGCUGCUUUUGUUGCUCGUUAUGAUAAUUGUUGUCGUGUGAAGGCAGUUCACAUGAAAGUAGGCUUACUUCAACCCUUGUCAAUUCCUGGUUAGAAAUGGGAGGAAGUUAGUAUGGAUUUUAUCUCCGGACUCCUGACUUCUGUUAAGGGUUAUGACUCUAUCUAGGUGAUUGUAGAUCGUUUGACCAAGGUUGCUCGUUUUAUUCCAGUUCGAACUGAUUAUCGUUCACAUCAGUAUGCAGAGUUGUACUUCGAGCACAUUGUCCGUUAGUAUGGUGUGCCUCGGACUAUCAUAUCAGAUCAUGGACCAUAGUUCACUGCCCGUUUUUGGGAGUGUCUUCAUGAGCAGAUUGGUACUCACUUGGUUCGUAGUUCUGCGUAUCAUCCUCAAACGGCCGGCCAAAUUGAACGUGUGAACCAAAUAUUGGAAGACAUGUUGAGAGCAUGUGCUCUCUCUUCAAAAGGUUCUUGGGUAAAGUGGUUGCCGUUAGCUGAGUUCUCUUAUAACAAUAGUUACCAAGAGAGCAUCAAGAUGGCUUCAUUUGAAGCCCUGUAUGGUCGAAAGUGUCGAACCCCAUUGAAUUGGGUGGAACCUGGGGAACGAAGGUAUUAUGGCAUCGAUUUCGUGAACGAAGCGGAGCACAAGUCCAUACCAUCCAGCAACAUUUGGAAGCUUCUCAAGCUUGUUAGAAAAGUUAUGCUGAUAAGAGAAGGAAGCCGAUUGAGUUUGCAGUCGGUGACCAUGUGUAUAUCACGGUGUCUCCGAUGAAAGGCGUACAAAGGUUCCGAGUCAAGCGAAAGCUUGCACCUCGUUAUGUGGGGCCUUACCGGAUUCUCGAGAGAAAAGGGAAUGUAGCAUACAAGGUUCAACUACCGAUUGAGCUUUGAGCAAUUUUUCCUGUCUUUCACGUAUCACAAUUGAAGAAAUGCCUUCGUGUUCUAGAGGAACGAGUGGAAGUUUGGGAUAUCAAGUUGAAAUCUGACUUGGUGUAUGAGGAGGAACCUGUAGCGGUUGUUGACCGCAAAGAACGGGAGACUCGUAAUCGGGUGGUUAAGUUCUACAAGGUGUUGUGGAGUAACCACGGGGAGGAAGAUGCCACUUGGGAAACAAAGGACUAUUUAAAAGAAGUUUAUAAAACCUUCUUCGAAAAUCAGUAAGCUUCCAAAUCUUAGGACGAGAUUUUUGUAAGGGGGGAGGACUGUAACACCCCAGUGUUAUGGUUGCAUCAUUCACAUGCAUAACAUGAGCAUCAUCAUCUUCAUAAGCAUAUCAUGAUCAUCAUUUAUCUUGGGUCAUGUCAUUUUAUGUAAAAGUAUGUUUUAACUUGCUUAAAUAUGCUUCCUAUGCUUGUGUUGCUUGAACCAUGCUCAUGUUUGUGCUCUAUGCCUUGGUAAAUAGUUCAUCUAUGCUUAACUCAACUUUUGGAACAAUGUUCAUGUUGACCACAUCUCCAAAUUAAGUACCUAAGUCAUAUUUCCUUUUAUAAGCCCUAGAAACCUCUUUUGAUUAGGCUUUUAAAAAGGUUUUCAUAAAAUGUUUGCAUGUCAAAACUUUCUACAACAAAGUUGUAGCAAAUUUUAUAAGGAACAAAAGUUGUUUUAUGGCCAUCUCAUGAAAAUGAUCACCUCAAGCUCAAAAGUGGCCCACAAGGAAGAUUUGGGGCUGUUUCCAACACUUAGAAAUUUUUCUAAGUCUGGGAAUGCAACAGUUUGCUCGAGGGUGGAUUGGACAGCUUCCAGUUUAAAAUCUAGGCCGAAUCAAGUCUUGAUCUUGUAAGAAAAGUUGAAGUCCUCAUGUAGCUCUACAGCAUGGAGCAAUUAGCCAGCAAAAUCAUCGAUCAGUUUAGGAGAUAAUCGAAGUCCAAAAUCGAGUUUCACUCUGCUCUGAAACUGAAUGGAGGCAGCGUCAGCAGAGGGGGAGCUCGCCGGUGACGCCGCGUGUUCGACCCGUGACGUCCAUGCGUCGCCGUUGGUCCCGCUCGUCAGGUCAUCGACGCCGUCAUGGACGCCACGACGCACCGCACUCACCAGCACUCCUCCACUCCCUCCCUCUCUCUCUCUCUCGCGCGCGACUCCGACGGUGGAAACGCCAUCGCCAUUGUCGCCGAGAGCUCCGCGAGCUUCGCGCGUGCUCGUCUUCGCGUUUCACCUCACCUCCGCGUGUCUCUAAGUAUGCCUCGAGCUCCUCCAUCUUCUCCACCCCUUGGUUGGACGAGAUCUUCCCGAGGUGAGCCGCAUUUUGCGAGUUUGUCGUCCUCGGGUCCACGGCCGUCGCGACCCUGAUUCCGGUGAACCUCGCCGCUGCUCUGUCCUUGCCUUCCUUCUUCCCUCCGAGUCAUGUUAGAGUCUGUUUAGGUCUCGGUUGUGGUCCGUGCCACGCCAUUCCGGCUUUGGUGCCACCGUCGUGCGGGAACACAGCCGCCGCACCGCCGCGCUCACCACCGACGAGCACCCUGCACGUGAGCAGACUCACCGGAGCCAUUAGGGUUAGGCGUUUCUACCUAGAAAGCUCCGCACUGUCUCACUGGUGCUUAAGCCACUCUUCCCCGACGCUCUACCGGUCGGAGAUGGCCGGCGUAAGCCGAGGUGGCUCCGCAGUGCAGCCAUGGCCGACGGCGACCCCUCUCCGUAGCUCCAACCUUAGGGUCACCUACCUCUAUCGAUGCGGAAUCACUCCAGGAGCACGUUGGUGCCCUUGGAUCCACUGGAGAAGCUCACUGUCGGCGAGCAUUCGCCGGCGAGUGUGUCCUCUGUUCUCUGGGUCGCUGACACGCGGGACCCACUAUUAGUGACACAUCGAUUCCCUCCUCUCUUUUAUUCAAAACCUAGAUUUCUUGCAAUCUUGCAAAAAUCAUAUCUCCAGUUCCUGAGAUCCAAAAAUUGUGAAACAAAUUUUGUGAUGAUCCUUGAGAUGGCUAGUUUUUAAGAAAAAUAUAAUAUGCACCAUGUUUUCUGGGAAAAAUAAUUAUUAUGAUUUUAAUCUUGUUAUUUGAGUGUAAAUUCAUAUCUGUUGAUACACUGCUUCAACUACUGUGAAAAGUUUAUGGUAAGCUCUAGGUGAGAUGAGAAUGCUAUGAUAAAUAUUUCAUGAUUUUGGGAGUACUGUAUCUUUGAUAUGUAAUUUAUGUUUGUGAUAUGGCUUGUUUUCAUAUUUAAAUCAUAAUAAAUGCUUGAUGCUUAUGCUGGUAUUCUACUUUGGUGUCAAGCUUGUUCAUAGUAAUAGUAAUAUGCAAAUAAUCUGAAAUCUGUUGUUUGACACUAUCUAAGCCAUGUUUCUUAAUUUAUGAAAUAAGCACCAUGUUACAUGUUAAAUGCUUAUCUUAAGUUUGGCAUGUGCAAUUGUUCUGAAAAUUUUAUGGUAAUGUCAAGAUGCUAUGUUUGUGCUUCUGUAAUUUUUGUAGAUUUUUCUGAGCACUUUUGCUAGUAUCUUGUAAUUAUGUCCUUUUAUGGAAUUUAAUUAAUAAAUACCAUAUUAUUAAAUGUUUAGUGGUCAACAUGUGAUGUUCUGGUAAUCUUAGGCUAUAUUUGUGCUUGUAAGCGUUUUGAUUGGCACUAAAUAUGUUUUGGCUAUGUCAUUAAAUAAUUAAUUAAAGGUUUAUAGCUGUUCUGGACAGCAAGGGAGUAAUCUGACCCUUGUUUGUUGAUAACUUAGUUUUCUGGAAGACUUGUCUAAAUCAAAGAUGUUGUAAACUUUAUGAACUAGCGGCAGUUUAAAUUUGGGAUCAUUUGGUCCAGUAGUUUAAAAGUUAUGGUUCUUCCAAGUUGGGUUCCAGAAAUAGGUGUUCUCUGUUUUUCUGGGACAGAACCUGAAACUUUGUUUAAUUGACCCGUUUAACUUGUGAAUCUUGCUGUGAUGUCUGAAGAUAAAAUGUGGACAAUUUCAUAAGCUUUCCAGAAUGUCCUCAUUUAUGUCUGUUGGAUCUGUAUAGAAAUAGUUAUGAUUUGUUUCUUGAGCUGCACUGUUAUGUGAUGAUUGCUGUUGUGGUUUGACUUGUUAAAUCUUGCUAAGUUAGUUAGUUAUCUUGUGUAAUCUUGUUUUGGGAGUUACUCCGUAAAUGAGUGUCCAGUGAAGUCCUACUUAUGUUACCAAGCAAUCAUCCUCAUCUAGUAUGCACGCAUUCUUACUCCCUGUGCAUGCAAUAGGUGCACCGGAAAAUACAACUUCGUUCGAGCUCCAGCAAGUGAACCCCGAAGGCCAGGAGAUCAAUCCGGAAGCGGAGGUCCAGCCAGCCGGACACAAGGAGCCCGAAGAGGAGGUCGAGUGCCCUAAUCAAGAGUCUGCCUCGUUCGUGAAAGGCAAGCCUCGGAGCAUCUUAAGUCUCCCACUUUAAUUUCGAAAGCUUACUUGAUUAUGUUAUAUCUAUUGAUGCAUUACGUAUAGGAGUUGUGAUGAAACCCUUGCUGCAUUAUAUCCUUUUCCUUGCCCAGAUAUCUUACCACUACUUGGUUGUAGAGUUAGGGUCAAGUAGCAGCUUAGCCAUGCUUUAAUCGGUAGAAGUCGGGUGAUAUCCUGUCACCUGCGCGAAAUAGGGUUGUGUCGGAUCACGAUUGACUAUAUGUGCUAUCGUGGGAAAGAACCUAAUUAAAAGGACUUAAGCCGGGCGGAGUUUUGCAAGGUUGUAGUAACUCCGUCUGUGGCAGCUAAGGACCGAUCGUUGUACGUCCUCUUGUCAUGUUGAACGCAUGCCUAACACUUAGUUGGCCGGAUAACUCGUUCCGACCGCGAAGCCUAGUAGUAUGACUCAGGCCGGAAGACCGACAAGUAUAAAGUGCGCACUACCGGAGGAAGUACGGUGUGCGGGGGACCAUUGGCAUAAGACCAAAGGCAGGUGAGUUAAAAGUCCUAACCUCCCUGGCUGAGUGGUAGCCCUAGGAGUGCGGCGCUGAUCGGAGCCGCGAUUCCUGAGUCGUACCAAAGGUGACCCGUUUGCUUUCUGACGGGGGAUGCUUGGGUGAGUGCUAGGAAUAACCCUCCAGCUGGAUAGGAAUCGAUUCGAAUCGCUGUCUCUCCCAGGUAGUGAGAACUUGACAGAGCAACGGCAAACGUAGCAAUCACUAAGUAACUAUGGUUCUUGAUAAUGAUGUUGAUGAUAGCAAGGAAGAACAUAUGAUGAACUUGAUAUGGUUAUUAUUGCUUGUAUUAAUCAAGUGAAGUGCUUAGUAUAGGUGCUAAUCUAGUGGUAGACUAAUGAUGAUUAAUAUAAUGCUUUUACAUAUGGUGUAGUAUCCACUUAAGCUUUUGGCAAAAUGUUGAGUCAAGCCAGCUACACUUUAUACUUAGACUUGCAUGAUCCUUGGUGUCUUUUAUGUUUUACUAGACGGGUAAGUCUAGCUGAGUACAUCCUCGUACUCAGGGUUUAUUCCCACCUGUUGCAGAUGAUGUCUUUUAUGAUGGCUUCUGCAAGACCUAUCUCCAUUCCGCUGGGGAUGAGGACUAAACCGUUGGGCACGGUUCUCUAACGUCUUCGCACCUUGUUGCUUUUGAUGGAUGGCAUGAGACUCUGGCAAUAACAAGAACUUUGGAAUGUGUGUUGUAAACUAUUUUGCUUCGCUACUGUGCACUUGGGUUGUAAUAACUAAGUAACUCUGAUGUGGUGCCGCUUCGACGGCAAUGAAUGACUAUGUAACAUUCGCUGUGUUAUGUUGAACUAUUACGAUCUUGGUUUGUUGCAAGUUGGUUUGAAGUCCUUCGAGAUUUCAGUUGACUACCGGGAUUAUAUGGGCUCAAGUCUGGAAACUUGAUUGCUAGUUGAUCGUUUCUACACUUGAACUCUUAUAAUUUGGUCGGUUCUGUGACAACAAGAAUGAGCCACUACGAGACUACAUCCGACAUUUCUCAAACAUGUACGAUGCACCUUAUAGUGCAUCUCAGUAUCAGAAUUUAUAUGGGGACUUUUUUCUUUUUUAGACCCUGGUACCAUGUGUCUACAUCACCUACUACUAGGCUUAGGGACUAAGUGGGCACACUUCACCUUACAGUGAAUAUGCUUGUUUUUUGAAAGUCUAUACUUUUCCAAAAAGUAAAGUGGGCACAUUUUAUCAAGAAAGAAAUCUUUUUUCUCAAGAGCACCAUGCAUUAUUCGAACAACCUGCUUCUUCGGUGUCGAUAUUGAUCAACUAUCUUUUGAGCUGGUUAAAAUACAAUUGCAACUGUUCGAGCGACUUUCCCACUGGUCAGAGACUUCAAGCCUCACUGAUCAAAGAAGCUCAAGACGACAUGUUGCAUCACAAUCAUGGUGCUCGGGAACUAGCUGUGGGGGUAUAAACCCCUAUACCCUUAUAACUAGACUUGGGCUAGGAGAUUUGGCCCAUUACGAGACAACUUGUGGCUUGAUUUAUCUACUUGGAGAUUCACGCAUGGAAACAAGACAUGGAGAUCAAGCAAGAUCCUAGCCGGUUGGAAUAGGAAUUGAUAUCGUACUGUCUAUAACAAUUGUAACCGACUAGGAUUACUUUCUAGAUUUGUAACCCUGCCCUCUGGACUAUAUAAAGAGAGACAAGGGAUCCCCUCAAGUCAAUUCAACACAUCUCAUAUCAAUACAAUCAGACGCAGGAUGUAGGUAUUAUGCCCACACGACGGCCGAAUCUGGAUAAAAUCCUUGUAUGUGUCUUGCAUCGCCAUCUAGUUUGUAGCUUGCGCACCUGUCUGCCAACAAUCUACUACCUUGGGUUUACCCCUAGAUAGACUACCGACUAGCUUUCGUCGACACCUCUCGAUUACGGGAUUAGGGUUGAAUGGGUUACACUGCCUCGAGCGUGGGAUGCAUCCCGCCUGCCUGCCAUCGGUAUGAGAUCCAGGGCAUUUAAUGCGCCUGACAGGCACCUAACACCAUGGCAGCCGCAGCUGUGAUGAUGGGUUGUACCCCCGUCGCGUCUUGCUUUUUACUAGCUUUGUCUUAGAAGUUGGGGAAAGGUAUGAGGCAGUUCUGUCACGCCCAGUGUAACAUCCCAUCGAACGACCCCUCAAGGCGUAAUUGUCAACAUUCCUUGAAUGGAACAUGCCCAAUCCGCCUAGCCCUCGAGGCCAUUAGAUGCUCUUCUAGGAAAGACCUCUCAAGACCAGUCUACACUCCAACAACUCCCGACGCGACGCCUGAGGAGCUGUGUGCGCAUGCAUACGAGUAUAGGCCUACUGUUAGGUGUUAUAUAGGAUCUCACAUGAGGAAACACAUGUGCCAUCAUCACCGAGUACACCGCUACAAGACCCGUCGAACGAUGCUGGUAUGGCGGCCUUGAGUUGACCAGCAUGCUUGCCCACGCCAUGAUCCAUGUUAGCCCUACCUCCAUGUUACCCUAUGCCUCCCCUUGGCCUAUAAAAGGGGACACCAGGGCUUAGAACAGGGCAAGCUCUUACAAUAGAAACCCACGCUCACAUGCACAACAAUGCUCACACCCUAGCCGCAUAUCGCCAGACCUUGAGGACUUAGAACCUCACACUCUCCCCUACUUGUAUUCACCCGUAUACAAGCGCUUCGGUGCAAGAUAAUAUAAACUCUCCCCCCACUAGACGUAGGGCCUUCUUUUCCUAAACCAGGAUAAACCAAUGUUGUUCUUCUUGCAUCACCAUCCGAAAGAGGGAGCACGCAUAUAAAUUCACUCAUUGGUGCUACCCCUGGGGUAAAACACCAACAGUUAGCACGCUAGGUAGGGGUCCUGCGUGUUUACUAACAAUCUUCCAUCUUACUUCUGGAUGGCUGACCUUGUUUCCUCACUUCUGCACUCUACGGUGAUCUGGUUUGGGAGUCUUGAGUUCAUGUCCACCGGAUUUGGCUAUGACAUGAUCCUACUCUCAACGAGGGGCCUGAGCAGAGCUCGCAUUGUGCCCCCAUGCUCAGGAGGGGCCGCACACCCCCUUGGUUGGGGAUCCAUCUGGCCUACGCUCGGGGAUGGAGAAUGGGCCAACAGACCGCCACGACAACUAUAGCUUCACCCUCGCAAUGUCGAGGGGACCCAACCCCAUGGUAAAGGAGCACGUGGUCUCUUCACCCCUCACCUUACUACCGCACGGACUAUUUGCCGACCAACAUCAGCUCCCGUUUGGCCUCAACAAUGUUGCCAUGACGUACUUUGCCUUGAUUCGUCCCAGUGCCAACACGCACGUAGAGUGACCAGUGAUCCUCUUGCGCAACAUGAUGGAGUUGGGGACAACCUGACCAGCUUCUGAGGAUUCAAGCUUUUCGUGAGACACGGGCCUCGAGUUCUCGGUCCAGGGUGGUAUACCUUACCACAAUGAGGCAGCAGUUGGUGGAAGAGUGGCAGGAAUGCUUGUACACCACUACCAAUCGUGACCCGGACUCCAAAUCUGACAGUUAUGACCCCAUGCAGGAAUGCUUCAACGUCAAAGACGGAGCCGUGGCCUCCAACGACGACACCACCGAGGACGACGACAACGGUGCUGCUCCCACACCAGCAGUAGGAGGUGACCCUAAGACUCCAGAGCAGGGGGGACAACUAGACCCACCUCCUCCCUAGAGCUACAAGGAUGGGUAGCUUGCAUAACUUUGAGAGUUGAAGGCCAAGCUCAACUAGGAUUGAGAGCGGCUGUACUAGCUAGAGCAAGCUCUCGAGCAGGACCACGCACCCCUACACGGCGGUGGAGCUCGUGGGCGGGCUCGAGACGUAUUAUGACAAAUCAUUGAAGAUGGGGAACCAGAGCGCCUUGUCAAUCGUUUCCCUUGAGCAGGUCAGAACAUCGUGGCAGCGACAAUGCUUCUAUGCAACAUGCCCAAGCCAUCAAAUCCCGAAGCACGCCGCAUACGGGAUGAGGUUCAGGGCUUGCUCGACGUCACGGCGGCAUAACAGGCCGAAAGCUUAGCCUCCACGCAUUGAGGAGCGGCCUCAGAAUGACCUGUCAAGCCAGCACGCCACGAGAGGGAGGUUUCUGUCCACCAAGAAGCGCCUCCUCAUGGCAAGAAAGCCACACCAGUUCAAGUGCGCAUCAUGACAUCAAUGAGCAUCGAUGACGAAAGUACGGGGACACCAAGGAAUGAGGCUAUAGUGCACACCGCAGCGGGCGCUAUGAUAGCAACGAGGACCGGAGGGCUCCUAAGCCACUAGGGCCUUGAGUCUUCAGCAAGGCAAUUCGCAGCACGCCACUGCCUAACCCUUUUUUCCCUGACAACCAUCACCAAGUACAACAUCGAGACUAAGCCCAAGUUGUGGCUAGCCGAUUUUUGGCUUGCGUGCUAGUUGGGCGGGGCUUGAGGGGACGACCAUGCCAUCAUCCGACAAUUACCUCUGCUCCUCUCUAACACUGCUCGCAGGUGGCUCGAGGAACUUCCCCCCAACCAAAUCCAUGACUAGACCGACCUACAUCACCCUGGCAACUCGUGGGACCUCAGCAAAUGCAAGCAAAAGACUGGGAAGUCUCUCCACGACUACGCUCGAUGCUUCUCCAAGCAACGCACCGAGCUCCCACACAUCCCAAACCACAACGUCAUCCUAGCGUUCAUGUCAGGCACUGCCUGUAAGGAUUUGGUGCGGGAGUUAGGGCGUAAUUGCCCAUAGACCGUCAACAAGCUGAUGGACAUGGUGGCCAAUUACACAGCCAAUGAAGAGGUGGUUGGAGCAUUCUUCAGUGAUGAGAAAUGUUGAUAUUUGGGAACGCAAUAAGGAAUUGAUCCACAAGCGCACAGAUAUCGGUGAGCACUUCACCCGGGAUGUUAUCUAGAGUAUCGUAUUUAUAUUUUUACCACUAGGAGAAAGAGUGCAUCUGACUAACCUGGUCUAUUACUACUAACCUUUAGGCUACAAAGAAUGUUUCUCGAUGUGAGCGAUGUAUAGAGAAGACUACAACCAUAAUCUCAUUCUAACCUUGGUAAGGAUCAUCUACUGUUCUGUUGGGGAGACUCACGGAAUCUAGACACCACAGAGGAUGUUCAACCCGCACCUAUAAACCCUAUCAAUCCUACUAACGGGAUAUGGGCAGCAAAGGUAACUCAGAAAUGUCACGUUCCUCGCUACUACCACGGUCCAGCUAGUCAGGGGAUAUCUAUGAGUAUCCUAGCCCAAACACCACGUCUACGCUAGAGAUGAUUACUCUAAACUCUACGUGAAGAGAUUAAAGUAGACUCAUAAACCAAAGAACAAUAAAACAAGAACUUACUAGUAUUUAGAAGUCGAAAUACUGAAGAAUCAUAGGAGCAAGCUUCGGGUUAGGAGAACUUGAUCCCGCAGGUACAACCUCGGAGUAGACACCGACAGGCCGGGCUUCCUCCGAUCUACACCUCCACUCUAUCUCUCUCAAUCUAGUAGAUCUAGUCUACUCUCACAUUGGAUGCUAAGCCCUAAGUCUAUUUAGAGGAAAGGUUAUCCUUCGAGGGCACCUCUCAGCUCUAUGAUGAACUUGUUCUCCUCCAGGGGCCAGGGGGUUUGCUUAUAUAGUCCCCUCUGGUGAACGUGGGCCGUCGGAUCAAACCGACAUUGAUUGAACGGUUAUCCUUGAUCCUUUAGGUCGAUGGAGCAUAAUCCACGAAGUUAGCUCUGAUUGGUGGAGACACUAGGGCGGGCGCCCUAGGGGGGAGGGCGGGCGCCCUACCCCCGGGCCCGAUCGCCUUCCCGUUCGUUCCCGUGGCUUCUGGAGUCUUCUAGAUGGUAGAAAAUUGCGCGGCACGUUAAUAUCUCUAUGUAAUCCUAACAUGUGGGCCUUUCUUUCCUAUUUCCUGAUAACCCUCUACAGAAACAGAUAAACAACAAAACUCAUGGAAUUCUGUCAGAUCAAACCCUAAUUCUAGGUGUUGUUUGUAUAUUGGUCCUUUCCCUUGUUUAUUUGAUAAUUAAAAUUGAUACUUAAGAACCGUCAACAAAUACCCCCAUACUUAGGCUUUUACUCGUCCUCGAGAAAAGGGUGGUUAAGAAAAAUAUCUAGGGUUAAAACAUUGUAAAACAUUCUCUUCAUACCUGCAGGGUGUAAAAAUUCACUGUGUACCAUAGUCAGGGAAAUAUAUGGUCAAGAGUAGAGGUCCUUUCUUCUCAAGCUUGUUACUUGGAAUUUUUUGUAUAUUUUUGAAAAGAAAUUUAGCAUACCUUUAUCCUCAUAGGUUCUCAAGUCACUCAUUAUCUUUUAUAUAUCUCACUGAGGCUGUUUUAAUUUGCAAAAAUUCUCAAGCAUACUUACCUUGCAUUUAUUGCCUGAUCAAAACAGGAUCCGAGGAGAGGAAUGCCAUACUCUUAGAUCAAAGACUUGGGAAAUUAGAAACUUGUCAACUCUUACUGGCAUAUUGCUUAUUAGAGGGACCAUGGGCUAUCAUUUUUUUUCAGGUGGAUACCGGGGUACCCCUAAUUCUACUGCCGGACACUUGUCCAUUUUUUCUGCAAGGUUGUCGAGCACUUGCUCCUUUUGAUUUCCUCAAAAUAUUCAUAUUUUUGCAUAGCCCAUGCUUCUAAUGCAAUAAUACUUCGGAAGAGUGAAUCUUUCUGAAUAAAUGUCUUGAUCUUAGGAGUAUGAUAAAUCUCUCAACAAGGGUCUAACUCAUUUUGAACAAACUCAAAACAGAGCAGAUAGCUGUUAUAAUUAUAAAUAUUUUCUGGUUUAGUAGGCAUAUAAAACACUGAGGAUGGUAGCUAGAAUUUUUGAAUAAAUUCUCCAAGCAACAAUGAUAUCAAGAAUAAGAUACUCAUACUCUACCAUCUCAUAUUCCACAAUGACUUAAGUAACACAUGGUUUUUAAAUGAUUUUUCAAUAAUUGCAGGUUUUCAUGAAAUAUCAUGAUUAGACACAUUUUAAUCUUUUUAAUUUAUCAUGUCGGAGAAAAUGUUUUGCAUAAUCCAAGAUAUAUGUGUAUGUGUAAAGUAAAGUGUGCAAAGUAUGUACUUGAAUCGUGGAGUGGUGUAGUCGAAGUGUGUUUGGUGUGUCGAGGGAUCUCCCCCAUACUUGUUUUCUGCAUUCUUACAUAAAAAUAAAGUAGAGACACACAAGACAAUAAUAAUAAUACUCUUUAUUAAUCUUGAGGCAUUUAUUACAAAUGACUAGUAAUGAACUGAAGCUAAUAAUAGAUCUAAACCGAAUUUAAGGAUAAAUAACUAAGAUGCAUUGCCUCAAGAUCUAAUUUAGAUAACUUAGCGGCGCUCUAACUCCCUGAUCUUCUUAUUGGCACUAGCAAGUGUUGAUAUUUGGUAACGCAAUCAGGAAAUGAUCCGCAAGCACACGGAUAUCGGUGAGCAUUUCACCCGGGAGGUUAUCCAGAGUUAUCGUAUUUAUAUUUUUACCACUGGGAGAAAGGGUGCAUCUGACUAACCAAAUCUAUUGCUACUAUCCCUUUAGGCUACAAAGAAUGUUUCUCGAUGUGAGUGAUGUAUAGAGAAGACUGCAAUCGUAGUCUCGUUCUAACCUUGGUAAGGAUGAUCUACUGUUCUAUUGGGGAGGCUCACGAAAUCUAGACACCACAAAGGAUGUUCGACCCGCACCUAUAAACCCUACCCGUCCUGCUAACAAGAUAUGGGAUACAAAGGUAACUCGGAAAUGUCACGUUCCUCGCUACUACCACGGUCCAGCUAGUCAGGGGAUAUCUAUGAGUACCCUAGCCUAAACACCACGUUUACGCUAGCAAUGAUUACUCUAAUACUCAACCGGAAGAGGAUUAAAGUAAACUCAUAAACCAAAGAACAAUAAAACAAGAACUUACUAGAAUUAGAAGUCGAAUUACUGAAGAAUCUUAGAAGCAAGCCUCGGGUUAGGAGACUUGAUCCCGCAGGUACAACUCGGAGUAGACACCGACAGGCCGGCCUUUCUCCGAUCUACACCUCCACUCUAUCUCUCUCAAUCUAGUAGAAACUAGAAGAUCUAUUUCUACUUACAUUGGUUGCUAAGCCUAAAAAGAAAUAUUAUUUAGAGAAGAGGUUUUCCUUCGAGGGCACCCCUCAAUCUCUAUGAUAACUUCUUGUCUUCUCCAGGGGCCAGGGGGGUCUCCUUAUAUAGUCCUCCUCCUCUAUGCGGUAGGGGAGGUGGUACUACAUUAUCCUUGAUCCAAUAGGUCGGUGGAACAUCGUGUGCGAAGAGAGUUCUGAACGGAGUCCAGAGGUGGGUGGGCGCCCAGGUCCUCAGGGCGGGCGCCCUGGGCCUGGCCCCUUUCGGCCUCCACUUCCUUCUCGUGGCUUCUGGAGUCUUCUAGAUGGUAGAAAAUUGUGCAGUGCGUUGAUAUCUCUAUGUAAUCCUGACAUGUGGGCCUUUCUUCCUUAUUUCCUGAUAACCCCCUGCAGAAAUAGAUAAACACCAAAACUCGUGUCAUUCUGUCAGAUAAAACCCUAAGUCUAGAUGUUGAUUUCAUUUGUAUCCUUUUCUUUGUUUAUUUGAUAAUUAAAUUUGAUACUUAAGGACCGUCAACAGCAAGAUCAUGCCUAAGACCUAGUAUAAUGGUGUUCUGGUUAGAGAGGUGCCUAGUGAUAGAGUUAACCGAGGACUGGAGUUCUAUGAUGACCCUGUCUAGCCUACGAACGUCCUCAUCAAUAUCUACUAUAGUCUUGCGACGCUUAGGAGGUGUCUCAAGAGCGUUGAGAGCGUGCUUCGGGGCUGCCUUUGGAGGGAUGAAACGGACUUUGGCUGCUCUACCCCCCUCAAAGUAAGGCCUCUCCUCCUCCAUAGUGUAGCGGAUGCUGCUGAUCUCGCCGCUCCGGUUGGUCUUGACUCCAACGACCCUCUCAUUGGGUCUGGGUGGCGGGAUCCUCGUGCCGGUUGGCACCUUGACGGUGGCCUCCUUCUUGGCUGACGGUCCCUUGAGAAGUAGGGGCUACGGCGGUGCGGUGAGAACUGGUUGAGCAUGGUAAGAUUGGUUGGAGCUGUGCUGGCAUAAUGGCAUGGCUUUAGCUGUCGCUCUGUGUUGGCCGGGACGAGAGCGCGGGCGUCGGGGUCUUCCUUGGGCUUCUUGUUGAGGUCGUAGGGGACGACUUCCCAAUCGUCGUGGAACUCUUCGGCCAUUGGAGCAGCAAGGAACUAAGCAAGCUCUAAUUGAAGAAGGAGAGAAUGCUUGAAUAGAUUGGUGUUUGAAAACUGACGUCAGGGGUCUGUUUAUAUUGGGGUCAAAAAGUGCCUCUAGGGUUUGCUCGGGCUACUCCCGCCGCCGUGCGUGCGAAACUUUCCAUCUAUAGGAUUAUUUGGUUUACCAUAAAUGUGUUUAUCGUGACGGAGGAAAAUCAGGACUGAGAGGGGGAUAGGGGCUGGGCGCCCACCCUCUUCAUCAGGGCGCCCGACCUGUUUUUGGCCCCUCUGUGGGCCCGCUUCCUCGAGUGUGCUUCUAGAUGCAGACUUUAUUAGGAAAAUAUAUUCGUGGCCCUAAAACAUGAGAUUAAAAAGGUUGGGCUCUAAUUCUCCAUGGGAAGGUAGAAAUGGAUCACGUCUAUCUCUUCUAAUUCUUUAUUGGGCUCUAAAAAUAAUUUAAGACGUUGACCAUGUACCUUGAAUAACGUACCUUCAUCAUUUUGAAGUGUGAUAGCUCCGUGGGAUGAUGAAUUGAUUACCUUGAAUGGUCCUUCCCAUUUACUUUGGAGUUUUCCAUGUCCGAAAAGCUUCACCCUGGAAUUAAAAAGUAAUACCUUAUCUCCGGGUGCGAACUCCUUCUUUUUGAUCCUCUUGUCAUGCCACCUUUUGACUCUUUCUUUAUAGAUCUUCGAAUUGUGAUAUGCUUUAUCUCGUCAUUCUUCCAAUUCUGAUAGUUGCAUUCUUCUGUGAUCUCCAGCGACAUCUAGGUCCAUAUUCCAUCUCCUAAUGGCCCAGUGUGCUUUAAAUUCUAAUUCAACAGGUAGGUGGCAAGUCUUCCCGUACACCAAUUGGUAUGGGGACAUUCCAAUUGGGGUAUUGUAUGCUGUCCGGUAUGCCCAAAGUGCAUCGGGUAACUUGUCCUUCCAUGCCGUUCCCAUUUCAUUGACUAUCUUCUGGAGAAUAUUCUUGAUUUGCUUGUUGGAAGUCUCUGCUUGGCCACCUGUCUGAGGAUGGUAGGGGGUAGCGACAUUGUGACGGAUUCCAUGUUUUGAUAGAUAUUGCUUGAAGCGUUUGUCGAUGAAGUGUGCUCCUCCAUCACUUAUCACUACUCUGGGGACUCCAAAUCUUGGAAAUAUAACUUCUUCAAACAUCCUCUUUGAACUGAUGUUGUCGGCGUGUUUGCAAGGUAGUGCCUCUACCCACUUCGAGACGUAAUCAACUGCCACCAAGAUGAACUCACACUUCUUUGAUGGGGGAAAUGGACCCAUGUAGUCUAUUCCCCAGACAUCAAAGAGCUCAAUCUGAAGGUUGUUGGUGAGUGGCACGACAUCUCUUGUGUUAAUGUUUCCAUGCCUUUGACAUGGCCCACAUCUUCUAAUAUAUUGCUUCGUGUCUUCAUACAUUGUAGGCCAGUAGAAUCCACAUUGCCAGAUCUUUGAAUGUGUACAGAAUGCUCCAUAAUGACCUCCAUAUGGUGAUGAAUGACACGUGUCGAUGAUCUUCCAUCCUUCCUCAGUGGUCACACAUAUCCUGAGUAAGCCAUCAGAGCAUACUCGGAAGAGGUAUGGCUCAUCCCAUAUAUGUGAACGACUUUCUUGAAUAAGCUUCUUCUUGUUUGCUCUUGGUGGUACAUACCCUGAAACCAUAAAAUUAACAAUAUCUGCAUACCAGGGGUUAGAUCUGUUAAUCCCAUAGAGCUUGUCGUCCCAGAGUGAAUCAUUGAUGGGGGUUUCUAGUGGAUUCUUAAAAUACAUUCUAGAUAAGUGAUCAGCAACAGAAUUUUCUACUCCCUUUUUAUCUUUUAUUUCUAAGUCAAAUUCUUGAAGUAAUAAGAUCCAUCUAAUCAGGCGAGGUUUAGCAUCUUUUUUAGUGAGCAGAUAUUUUAGUGCAGCAUGAUCAGUGUAAACAAUUAUUUUGGCUCCAAUUAAAUAAGAUCUAAAUUUAUCAAUGGCAAAGACAACAGCCAGAAGCUCUUUUUCCGUGGUUGCAUAGUUAAGUUGAGCUCCUGUCAAAGUUUUACUGGUAUAAGCAAUUGCAUGAUGCUUCUUAUUUUUAGUUUGUCCCAAAACUGUCCCCACAGCAUAAUCACUAGCAUCACACAUAAUUUCAAAAGGGAACGACCAAUCAGGGGGUUGAAUGAUUGGUGCAGAGAUGAGUGCAUUCUUUAAUAAAUUGAAUGAUGUUAAGCAUGCAUGAUCAAAUUCAAAAGGAGCAUCCUUGGCUAGCAAAAGAGUAAGUGGUCUAGCAAUAAAUGAAAAAUCUUUUAUGAAUCUGCGAUAAAAACCAGCAUGGCCAAGAAAGCUUCGAAUUCCUUUUAUAUCCACAGGUGGAGGUAGUUGUUCAAUUACUUCAAUUUUAGCUUUGUCUACCUCAAUUCCUCUUUCAACCACUAGGAGUCCCAGCACUAUUCCUUCCAUAAAAUGACAAUUUUCCCAAUUAAGGACUAAGUGCUUUUCUUCACAUCUUUGCAAAACCUUGUAUAAGUUUUCAAGACAACUAUCAAAAGUUUUUCCAUAAACAGAGAAAUCAUCCAUGAAAACUUCCAUAAUCUCUUCAAUCAUAUCAGAAAAUAUAGACAUCAUGCAUCUUUGAAAAGAAGCUGGUGCAUUACAUAACCCAAAAGAAAUUCUACGGUAAGCAUAAGUUCCAUAUGGGCAUGUAAAAGUGGUUUUGCUUUGAUCAUCGGGAUGGAUUGGGAUCUGGUGAUACCCUGAAUAUCCAUCUAAGAAACAGACGAACGAAUGGUUCGCUGAUCGCUCUAGCAUCUCAUCUAUGAAAGGUAAAGGAAAAUGAUCCUUUCUCGUGGCUUUGUUUAGUUUUCUAUAGUCUAUGCACAUCCGCCACCCUGUGACGGUGCGUUGCGGAAUUAGAUCAUUCUUUUCAUUCGUAACAACAGUCAUGCCUCCCUUUUUAGGCACAACUUGAACUGGGCUCACCCACUCACUGUGCGGCACAGGAUAUAUAAUCCCUGCAUGCAGCAACUUUAUAACUUCCUUUUUAACUACCUCUCUCAUUGCGUUGUUAAGUCUGCGUUGGGGCUCUCGAGAAGGUGAAACAGAAGGAUCUGUUGGAAUAUGAUGGGUACAAAUCAUAGGACUGAUUCCUAUAAGAUCUUGGAGUGAGUAGCCAAAAACUAAGUGAUAUUUCUCAAGAAUGGUCAUCAAUCGCAGAGUUUGCUCCUAAGUGAGUUUAUCACUAAUGAUCAUAGGAAACUCUGGAUUAUUGUUUAGGAAAGCAUAGAUAAGACCGGGUGGUAAAGUUUUAAGCUCUAUGGGAGGUCUAGGCGUUUCUGCAAACUCGUCUAAGGGUUCAGGUUCAGAAGGUUUGGCCUCUUCUUCUAUGAAGAAAGGAGCUUCGUAAGUCUGGUUCAUCUAAAAGCUCUAGAGAUGCAGCCUUUACCUCCUCCAUAGGAUCAAGCAAAAGAUAUGACUCGGCCUUAUUAUUUAAGGACUGUGAAAUUGUUAUUGGAAAUUUAAAAGUUUUACCAAAAGAUAUGUGUAGCUUUCCAGUAUGACCUUCAUAAAGGAGUCUUCUAAAAGGUUGUCCUAUCAACAGGUCGAAGUCCCAUGUAUCAAAGAUAUAGAAGUCCAAAUGAACCAUGGAGCCUUCUGUUGGGUAUUCUUAACAUCAUUACCAAAAGUAGACUUAGUUUUCUAAUUCUGAUAACGGUGCCAAAAAUGCCAAACCUAUCUCUCAUACCACUUAAGCCAAGUUGUCAUCCCCAGCAUGACAUGAGAGAUGCGGUAUUGAAAUAUGCAAUUGCUCUUCUAAAUAAAUAAAUAAUAAAUGAGAUCUACAAGCGCACAGAUUAAUACCGAUAUAGCAUUUUAACCGGGAAGUAUUCUAGGUAUCGUUAUUUAUAUUUUUACCACUCGGAAUGGAUUGACAAUCAUCAAUGUUGAUUAUUGAAUGGAAUAUGAGAUUGAGUAUCUAUCAUUGCAUGUACAAUUGAGAACAUUUAUCUAACACUUUCAUACAGGGGUAAGUGUCACAUAAAGGAUAUACAGUAAUGAAUAGUGACAAAGAUAAGUAAUCUGAUAAGCAUAACUUAGCCACAUAAUAAAUAUGAUAAGCACCUCAGUUAGAUAUUCUAUAAAGUCAUUAGCAUGGAAUUAGAACGAACUACAAGAAUAUUUCCUAAGUUAUUCUCAACUACAUAGUCUAGCAUAUCAUAGUUAGUGCAAGUAUACUUAGCAAUCAUUGCGAGAAAAGACUACGCCCAUGCAUAGUGAUAUUAGCAAGGAAUAUGAGAAACAUCGUAAUCACUCCCCUGUAAUAAUGUUGCUCUGCCAGCCCAAUACACGAGAGGGGGACUAUAUAAGAAUCAAUGAAGCUGUCACUAUCACGAACUACCCCGCGAUCUGGCAUAUUGGGUACAAUCGCAGAUAAAUACGGUAUAAGCACCACGCCUACACAAUAUCUAUCAUUUACCCAUGGAUCCGAUGGAUAAACGCUAUACGAUCUUAAACAUGUAUAUAGAUACAAUCUAACUAAGCCAAGUAUAUAACCAAGAUAAACUAAGAACAAUAUAAUCUUGAAUAGAAACAAGUAGAGCAAAGUCAUAAGCAAUAUAUUGAAGUAGAACAAAGUCAUAUUCAUAAUAUUGAAGAACAAAGAUGAACAAUUAGAAGAACAAUUAUAGAAUUACCAAGAAUCCUCCUGACAGAUCUGAAAACCAAUCGAAGAUUGACUCCUUCCAGUUCUAAUCCUAUGUAGCUAUGCUAAUCUAGAUAUCUAAUUGAUGUGGUGGCUCUAGGCUUGAUCAGAGACUUCUCCUCUCUUGAAGAAUAAUAAAUUAGGGUUGAGAGGCUCUCUCCUCCAGGGGCUAGGGGGUCUGGUUUUAUAGUCCCUCCAAGUGAAAAUGGGCCGUUGGAUCAAACCGACAUUGAUUGAACGGUUAUCCUUGAUCCUUUAGGUCGGUGGAGAUUGAUCUCGAAAGAGAGUCCUGUUUGGACUCCAGAAGGGGGCGGGUGCCCAGGUCAACUGGGCGGGCGCCCAGUGCCUGGCUCUGUUCGGCCUCUGCUUCCUUCCCGUGGCUUCUGGAGUCUUCUAGAUGUAAGAUAAUUGCGCGGCACGUUAAUAUCUCUAUGUAAUCCCGAUGUGUGGGCCUUUCUUCCGUAUUUCCUGAUAACCCCCUGCAAAAAUAGACAAACACCAAAACUCGUGGAAUUGUGUCAGAUAAAACCCUAAGUCUAGAUGUUGAUUUCAUGUGGAUCCUUUUCUUUGUUUAUUUGAUAAUUAAAUUUGAUACUUAAGGACCGUCAGCAAACUCCCUCAAGCUUACCUCUUACUCAUCCCUGAGCAAGGAUACUCUCAGUGAUGGAUCAGAAGUUGUUGCAAUAUCUUUAGAAAUUGACGGUACACAUGCUUUUAAAUAAGAUCUCUUCUGUGAGUUAGAGUAAACUGUCAAGACUUAAAAUUUAUUCAUUUUACCUUUUACCAUGGGACUUGUAACCUUGACUUCUGACUUGAGUAGUUAAAAGAUAGAACAGUCUAGUCAAGUGCCAUGUCUCUUAUUCUUGAUCAGCUAUAGCUCUGGAGUUUUUGCAGAUUUUCAAAUAAAACUCAAAGAUUCCUUGUAUGAUUCUCUCAAAUCUCUCUUUUGUGGUAUUUCUGGAUCCUUACCAAGGCAGUGAUGGUAUAUGCCUUCUCUCAAGAUAUGUAGUAUUUGUGGUAUAAGGCAUAGGGAUAUUGCCUUCUCUCUCACCCUACUCUAAUAAGGCUUUAAUAUCUAGAGCUCAUAGGUUGGAGAUAAAGUAUACAUACUCACAAGACAUUUAUUGUAUAGUCAAACCAUGGAUCCAAAGAAACAAAUCAAUAAGUCAAAUCAAGAUGUGCAUGUGUGGCGAAUGAAUGGUGUAUGGUGAUGAUGGUGAUAACAAUGGUGAAAGUCUAAUUCUACUUUUGCUCUUUGAGAAGAUACAUACCUUCCUUGCUUUUUGAAACUUAGUGAGGAGAAUGAGAUGCUCUAUCUUUUUUUUUUCUCUCAGGUGGGUAUUUUGUACUCCUAAUUCUACUGUCGGACACUUGUCCAUUUUUACCUCUCGUCUCACUUUUUCUUUUCUUUCGAGGUUCCGGGCACUUGCCCCUUUUUAUUUCCUCGUAUCUUCUUUUUUUAGAGCACUCAUCUCUUGAGAUAAUAUAGCAAGUAUUAGUAACAAGAUAACUUGAGCAUUUAUUUCAUAGGGGAAAAUAGAAAUGUUUUUGGCUAUUCUCUCCCAGAUUAGGAGUAGAAUAUUUUUGGGUGGUUCUGGAGAUGGAAAUGGGUGGAUAUAUGUGGAUGGUACUUCCAGAGUAGAAGCAGCAUAUGUGAGUGAACGUGCAAGUGAAUCUUGAUUUUAACCACAUGACAAGCUCCUAAGGGUCUACACAGCUUGACCACACUCAAUGCUCAUAAGCAAUAAACAGUAAAUGUGUGGCUCAAAGUCUAGCAAGCAUGUAUAUAUGGCUGUGGUAGGAAUUUAAACUCUCAUCAUACAGGAACUCAUCAUGCAAUAUUUUAAAGAUUUUCAAAGAUAAAAUUCUCCACAAUUCUAGCAUCCCUAGAAACAGCAGCUCAACCUUCCCAUAUCAUAUCCGUUAACAACUUAGACUUCAGAUCAAGUUUGCUUCCCACAAGUUUAGUGUUUAGGUCAAACUUUAAAUUAUAACAGUUAUGUCUAAACUAGAGAGAAAACUCAAAUUUGAAAAAUUAGGCAGAGCAACUAUUCAUCAUGUCCAUGCUAGAGUUUUAUUAUUAAGAUUCAGAUUAGCUUAGCCACUUUAUUUAUUUAUUAAACACACUAAGCAAAAGAGAU